This 78778-nucleotide long non-coding RNA is filed under the name Malus domestica (apple). Lineage: Eukaryota; Viridiplantae; Streptophyta; Magnoliopsida; Rosales; Rosaceae. The record is from RNAcentral.
CCACUCCUCUGUAGAAACAGGUCUGUCUCCCUAUCAUUGUGCACCUUUCACCCACCUACAGCUGACACAACAAAAACCCAAGUCUCCCUAGAAUCCGACAUCAAAAUCCAACAGAAACCCAGAAACAAGAAGCUUAACGUCCCCAUACCUCGAAGCCUCCGGAAGAAAUCGAAAACCAAGGCCGAGAAACCAGAGGAACCGGAAGAGGAGAUAAAACCCACUUCGAGAUUGUGGUUCGGGAGCUGAAAGGCUGUUUUCUAGCUCUGGUUUGGGGGAGAAAAUCAUGGAUGGUGAGGACUAUGGUGGGGGGAAGAAGAAAGAGAGUGUUUUGCAGACGCUGGUGGUGGGGGGCGGUGUGGGGAAUAGUGGCGGGAAGAUUUGCGGCGGCGGCGGUGGCGGGAAAGGAUCAGACGGCGGAGAAGGAAGUGGGUUUGGUUUCUUCGAGGGUAAUAAUCGUGGGAGUGGGAGUACUGAUGCUUAUUAUCAGAAGAUGAUUGAAGCUGACCCGGGAAAUGCUCCUCUUACUUGGCAACUAUGCAAAGUUUUUAAAAGAGGUAAACUUGUAAACUAAACAACACUUUCUUGGAUUAUUGUUUUCUGUUUGGUUGCUGAGAAAAUUUAUGAAAAGAAUGGAGAUUGUCAUCCUUAAUUAAUUGACCAUCUUAUAACGGGAAGUGAUUUUCACGCAUCUAAAGAAAACAACAAAGGUAGAUUACACCGCAAAUUCUAGAUGUUCAUGACACUAGAAAUGUUCACACAAUUGGUCUAAAUAUUUUACGUGAAGAUUUAAUGUUCGAUAAAUUAGGAGUGUUUCUGAUUAGUUGUGACUAAUGCGAAUAGGUCCGAGGAGAUUAUGAGAAAGCAGAGGAGUAUUGUGGAAGAUCAAUCUUGGCGAACCCGAGUGAUGCGAAUACCUUAUCACUGUACGGUGAUCUAAUAUGGAAUGCUCACAGGGAUGCUGAACGAGCUGAGAAUUAUUUGAUCAAGCUGUUAAAACUUCCCCAGACGACUGGUAAGAAAUAGAACAAGCUCCCCUUUGAUCAAACUUCCUCUUCAUGUCUUAGUAUAUAAUAUAUUGCUUGAAUCGGAAAAUCGGAACAAGUUACAGCUCUUAUUGCAAUUGUCGUGUUAUCGUUUUCUUCUUUAGCUUAUAGAGAUAGAAAACUAAAGGUUAAGGGUUGAGUAUGAUUUUGCUCGGUGAACAUUCCUUCUGUAUAUUCAUCUUUACAUAGAGAUUACAAAUUUAAAGGUUAAGGGUUUAGUUCGUUUUCUUCUUUAGUUUAAAGAUUCUUGCGUUUGUUGCGGCUUCUGUUGGCCAGAGGAAAUAUUUGAAUUUCCUCGUGGCGGGCUGGAUGGUUUAUCAUAUAGUACUCGACGACUCGUGUUUGAUCAAAUUUGAUCAAAUCGUUAUACAAACAUAACUUUUCCAACCAUUUAUACAUUUUGGGAUGGUGUUCAAAUAGAUGCUCCUCUUUAAAUCCUUGAUGAUCAACCGUGUUCUCAUGGUUUCCGCUAUGGAACAACUCAAUUGGUGCUUUUGGAGUAUGCAUUACUGCGGCAUUAGCGAAUCUAAGUUCGAUGUUUUUGAGUUCCUAAUGUUUAUAAUCUUGUUCGAUUACAAACGAGUGUUGUAUAUUUCUCAAUAUGCUCGAUUUGCUCAAAUUUUUUCUGUCCGGAUAUAUUUUGAGUAUACUCUCUCUCUCUAUCGCACAGACAUAAUUUUGAUUAGUAAUGAAAUAUUUCUAGGAGAUCUUUGUUGAUCUGUUUUUCUUGGUUAAUUAUUGUUUAAACUAAUGUCUCAACUCCACUCAUUUUGCAGUUAUGUCCUGGCUUCAUAUGCUCAUUUCCUUUGGGAUGCUGAAGACGACGAAGAUGAUGAAGAAAAUCAAGGGGUUCAACGUGAAACCGACCGGAGCCACACGUCCUCGUCGAAUUUCUUCCAUGGAUCUCCUCACCACUCUCCUUUAACUGCAGCCUCUUAAUAAGAGAUAUUAGCUGUGACUUUGUAAGAUAAUUAAAAUAACAAAUUAGCUGAUAUAUCAUAUGUAACUUCUACCUUUUGUCCUCUUAUUCCAUAUAUAUUUACAUACAUAUACAUAUAUACAAUAUAUAUUACAUGCUGUGGUGGUCAUCUUCCUGGUGUUGCUUUCUGUUAAUAUGCUCCGUCCAAAUAAAAAAAGACCGGGCGGACUUUGUGGACUUCCUUUUGUAUUAUUAUUCAAAUAAUUUAAGGGUUUAUGUGAUUAGAGAGCAAGAAAAGACUAUUACACAUCCUCUGUGAAAUAUCUAUCCCCACCGAAUGAGCUUUAGAAAGGACAGUCCUCUUAUCCUCUGUGCUAUGCAUGUGAUUUUAUUUCUAAUUUUGUGCAUACAGGGAAGAAAAGGAAAGAACCCCUUUUUGGGGUCUAAUCAUUUGUCUUUUUCAUCCACUUGAGAGAAAUUUCGUCUCUUUGGUUAGGAAAGUUCUCACAUUGUGUAAAACUAAUAUGGGGUCUAGUGGAGUUGAAACGUCAUACGGAUGAUGUAAUUGACAUGCCAACUCAAACCAAGUUUUCUCCCCCCUUUAGUAUCUUAUAACUCUAAUGCAUUUGGGUCUAUAAUUUUACAUGGAUUUUAAUAGAAGGCAGCACAAAUGGAUUAAACGCGUGAAAGGAUUGCUCUUUACUUAAUCAUCCAAAAUUAUAGGGUGACAAUUAGCAAAGAAAGCAUGGUCAUUUCUUCUCCGGUUUUCAUCCUAUGCCUUUCGAUACUUUGAGUUGUUGGAUUUUAAGUACUAACGAACCGUAUGCAUGUCAUUCAGGUCACUUAUGGGGAGAAGCACAUCUGAUAUGUUUUUUUUUUUCUAUAAGUGAUUAUGACCCUCUCAAAAUCACUUUCAAACAGAAAUCUGAUUAUGCGUCGAAAGCAUGGUCAUUUCUUCUCCGGUUUUCAUCCUAUGCCUUUCGAUACUUUGAGUUGUUGGAUUUUAAGUACUAAUGAACCGUAUGCAAGCCAUUCGGGUCACUUAUGGGGAGCGCAUCUGAUAUGUUCUAUUUUUCUAUAAGUGAUUAUGACCCUCUCAAAAUCACUUUCAAACAGAAAUUUGAUCAUGUGUUGAAAUGCAAAAGAUGAAAAAAAUGAAAGAUGUGCAGAAGGAUCAAGGUAUUGUGAUUUGUGAUCAGGUAGAUUGAUCCAAAACAAAAUUUAUUCUCUUUGUGUGGGUGUUCUGGUAUCUUCAUUCUUUGUGGUUUGUAGGGUUUUGUAUUUCAGCCUAAGUUAUGUUAUGUAGGUCGGCCGAUAAAUACAGCUUUGGCUUUCAUCUGUUGGUGACAAGCUGAUGUCAUUCUCCACAUUUUGAUUUUAUUGAUUCAUUGGUCUGCUGGUUUAUUUUUUUUCCUUUGUGAAUGUAUUAUUUUGAUGUGAUGUGGUAUCUAAGUAAUUAUUGUGUGUCGAGCUGCACUGAGGGAAUACAAUCAUUAUUUAGCCAUACUUUGGUGGUUCCAUGGCCAGAUAAUGCUUCAAAACUUUAUUUUUUCUUUAUUGGUACUAAGCAUUGAAUGAUACAAAAGAUGAACGGUUGUGAAUAAGAAUUAGAAGAUCUAAAAUGUUGUGAAAACUAAAUAGAGAAAUGUUAAGGGGAUUAUCCUAAAGUGAGACUUUUCAUGUAUUCUCUACUAUAUCAUAGUUUAUCGUUAAUUUCAGUGUCAACAUUUAUUUUUUCUAACUAAUGAAUCAUUUAAUAAUAUUUUAUUAAAAUAUUAUGACAAAAACAUGAAAAAAAUCCAUAAAAAACCUUAUUUUGAGAGAAUUUUCUUAAUAUUUCCCAACCAAAGAAAACACCCGUAGCUUUGAAGUGACAUUCUCAAAAGUUCGGACCUAAUAUUAUAAUUUAUAGGGAACUUUAACGAAAAGCAUCUGAUAUUGUUCACUUUAAUGAAAAACCACAUUUUUACACUAAAAAGUUAAUUCUGGUACUAUUCACUUUACCUUUAUUUUGUCCUUAUCAUUAAAACUUAAAGUUUUCAAACCCUUUUAUUAGUUUUCCUUAAUUUAUAUCUUGCAUUCUGCACUUGCUUUGUGGUAAUUAUUUUCAUUCACAAGUUGGUUGUUCAGUGUUCACAUCUUUCAGCAAUUUGGCCCAUUUGGUGGGUUGGCCAUUUUUUCUCGUCUCAACGUGGGAAAUAUCAAAAGGUUUUGUUGGUAUUGAAGGCUUGAAGCAUUCCCAUUGGCUGGCUAUUUUGGUGCCUUGUGUUCGUUGACGAUGGUACAGAAAAAGAACAAUAGCCAUCAUGAAUGAAGGCAAUAAGGUUUGUGGACCAGGAAAGCUUUGAAUAUAAACCUACACCUCAGAUUUUUAGAUAUUUUUACAAAAUCAUUGUAUAUGUGACAAGAAAAACUUUCAUACACCUAUUGCAUAAAACACGUUUCUCACAUCUAUAGUCUUGCAUUACUCAUAUCUAGUAGCAAAUGUGAGUCAGUUGUAGUUUAUGAUAAGCCCAACAACAACAACAAAGUCUUUUCCCACUAAGUUGGGUCGGCUAUAAUUUAUAAUAAGCCCAAGAUAGAAAAAUCUUAAACAUUAUCAAUAGUCCUACAAAGAAAAAAAAAAUUGGAUGCCACCGACUAUACUGGAAUAUAUGCUUGAUGUCUAGUGUUGAGAAUAAAUCAUAUAUUGAUGCGAAAAAGACCUUACACGUCCUUAUAAGUGGGAUUACUUCUUAUGAGUUUAUGGUGGAACCUCAACUUUCUUCGUCUGGUGAUAGGACAGAGUCUCUCGUCCAUCAUAAACAAGGACAUGUAGCAUGUAGUUUAUCUAAUAUGGAAUAGUUUCAAACUUUCAAACCACUAUGGCGGUAUGCAUUAUGUUAUGAGACCUAAUAAGCAAAAAAUCAUUACAAAAGUAUUGUUUAGAAAAUCAUACAGUAAGAUUCAUUGGUUGGCCAUGUUCAAGUGUUCAGAUUCUGGUGCUAGAUUCACCUCUUACGUUAUAUGAAAUCUUCUAGCUGGGCGGACUUGAGACUAAUGCUGCAAUUUUAGACUGCUAAUUAGUUAGGCAAACUUUAUAGGACUGCCUAAAUUUUCCUGCAGAACAAGUCAUUGAUCUGGCAUGGGGAAGAAAAUGGUGAUGGCUCGGUUUCUCUCGAGGCUGCAGACGAAGAUUGAUCCGCAGAUGUUAGCCAAAACAAAUGUAUACUUCUGCAGAUUGGUUGGUCUCUCUUCUUUCCAAUAAGCCUCAGCUCUCAUUAGCGGCAUGGAUUGCAGGGUUUCGGAAAAAGGCUGCUUUCGAUUGCUUUCACACAGCUUAAAGGGUUUAGUGUUUAGGGUUUAGGGUGUAUAAAACGAUACGGGAACAUACACUGGCUUCAGAAUUUUAACUGACCAUACAAAGGUUGAUACACGAUACUUUUUAUCCUUGAAACUAAACCACCACACGUACAUCACAAUUUAUAUAGCUUGCUUCCAUCAUCUUGGCCCCGAAAGUUGAAUGUCCGACAGGAGUCUAUCACUGUUGUAAUUAGUGAGUCCUGACGACGAACUAGCUUCCUUGCCGCUCCAUUGUAAGAAACUCACACGACGAUCUGACAGAGAGGAGGAGGAAAUCCGUGGUGGUGGUAAAGCAGAAAGAUCUUCAAGCAUUUGGACUACUUUCGUCAUCGGAGGCCUCAUAUGCAUCUCAUCUUGAAUGCACCACAAUGCAACAUUGAUUGCAGUCACAACCCUUUCAUCAUUUUCAUCAACAUCUAGCUUCGGAUCGAGGAAUUGUUUCAGAUUUCCCUCUUCCAACAGCUUAAAUGCAUAAGAAGGAAAGUGGCCUCUCUCAGAACUGUUCACUGGAUCAAAAUUCCUCUUACCACCAAUGAUCUCAAGCAACACCAUGCCGUAACUGUACACAUCACUCUUCUCUGAUAUGGCAUGAUUGGUAACCCAUUCCGGAGCAAGGUACCCUCUUGUACCCCUCACCGUUGUAUGUACAAGGUUUUCCUCCCGGUUCAUCAUCUUUGCCAAACCAAAAUCUGAAACUUUGGCAACAAAAUUGUCAUCAAGAAGAACAUUUUCAGGUUUUAUAUCGCAGUGGACAAUCUUCUCUUCACAUUCUUCAUGUAGAUACGCCAACCCCUUUGCAGUGCCCAGUGCAAUAUUGAAUCUUGUGUUCCAAUCCAAGACGGCCUCCUUUUUGUUGCUAUUGAAUAUCCACUUAUCUAAAGACCCUUUUCCCAUGUACUCGUAAACAAGAAGCCGGUGAGGCCCUUCUGCACAGAAACCUCUGAGCUUGACCAGAUGGACGUGACGAAUUUUCCCAAUAAUAGUGACCUCAGCUCUAAACUCUUUCUUCCCCUGGCCAAGGCCCUCCAGUUUUUUCACAGCCAGUUGGAUGCCGUCUGGGAGCUCGCCUACGUAGACUGAACCAAACCCUCCUUGGCCAAUUUUGUUGGAGAAAUUUUUAGUUGCUCUGCUAAGAUCACCGUACAUGAAGCGAAUAGGCAUCCCAGAAAGACUGUCCAAGAACUUAUCCUCUUCCAAGAUUUCUUGAGAAUAAUCAAGUAGUCUCUUCCUGCGGUAGUACAAGAAUCCCAUAUAAACUAGACCAGCAAUAACAACAAUUGUUGCAAUCAAAAUGACCAUGAUUAACAAGAUGUGUUUGCUUCUGUUUCCCUUUCCUUGUCCGGCAUUGAUUCCUUCAUCACUUAAAAUCUUCAUAUAAGAGAUGUACCCGGUAGAAUUUGCACCGGAGCGUUCAAAACUCCCUACCCGGUCAAACAUAUAACAAUGUCCAGAGCUGCUUUCAAAGAAGAGCACAAGGCAAGAACAAUUGCUAAUGCAAGCUUCUUUGCAGGAACUCAGAUUGGAUUUCAGCAGGGAGGGUUUGGUAAACUGAAGGGCAAAGUAAUCGAGCUUCUCACCAACGUAUAAAAGCUCCGUUGAGCUUCUGGAGCUAUUACAAGUUGGGAGUGCUUGAGGUCUGCAAUUAAAGCGGGAAGUGAGAAGCGAAGGACAUUGGCACCAAUUGUCAAAGUAGCACACAAAAUAAGGGGCACAAGGCUCAGGAGUGCUGCAUGAAUUUUGCGGGAUCUUAGUUGCUUCAGAAGUAACAGACUUUCCCUUCUGAAGAUCGUAAAAGGAGAUCACUGCAUCAGCUCCUAAAGCCGCAGACCAGAAUGCAUUCGGGUCCUUGUUAUCAGAGAAGACAAAUUGCCAAAGCAAGGAUUUAUUUGCAUCAUAGAAAUUCAAAGCAUUGGACGCCAGAGACAGAGAGUGAAUAUUGCCAAUGACGUUGUUGUUGCUCAUCCUGCUGUCAACCGCCAAGGACCAAUAGAUUUGAGGAGGUUCGUAUCCUGUAUACAAGACCAGAUCCCCUGACUGAAUUUCAAGAUAGUGAAACACGUUAUUGGAGUUGCGAAAACUUUUGAGCUGCAUUCCUUGCAAGAACUCCUGGCCAGGUAAGAGAGUGUCCGUGGGAUGGCUAAAACUCUGCCAAAGAAUGCUUCCUUUGUCUCCAAGCAACACCAAGUUUCCUGAAUCCUGCAAUUCCAUGGCUGAAGCUACCUGUCCUGUUGUGUUUGUAGACCAGGCCACACUAUCACUGCCUCUCAAGUAGGCACUCCCAUUUUUAUCAAAAACGAACUUAGCGGACUUGGAAAUCAGUUUGCCUCUGUUAGCAGUCCAGACCACUUUAUCAGUACCCAAGUGAAUAAUCACAAGUAAAUACAACUUGACAUCCAGCGCUUGGUAGAACCCUAAGGCGAACGCCGAGUUGUUCGAUAGCAGGAACAGCCCCACAUGAUCACUCCAGUCCACCUGAGAUGCCUGGAACCCGGGAUAGAUUCGAUCUUUGUGUUGUUCGUCGGCUAUGCAGGUUUUGAACACAAGUAGGAGGACACAGAAACACAAGGCUCUAAUCUGAAACCGACCCAUAAUCGACUUCACCAAGUGACCCAAAAUUGCUUCCCAAAAAUUGAUUCUUCAGAAGAAUUUCCGGGUCUUCGAGUGAGCUGUUUCUUUGUAUUUAGCUUUAUGGCCCCUAAGAUAGAAUAAAAGGGCAAAUGAUCGAUCGAUCUGAAGUUAAAACUGAUUCAAUGUUUAAAAAGGUAUGAACACAAAGUAGUAAAAUUUCUUCAAGUCCAUCAAGCAAACUAGACAAGUAGGAGAAAAUCAGUGGUGAAAUAUAGUUGGUGGGGUUGUUUUUGGCCUGCCGACAGAUUGAAAAUCUACAGGCAGGUUAAACAAAUAGUGUUUCACAAAGCAAAACAAAGCAGGAAAUAAAUGGAAAAGAAGUGAGAGCAGAGAUUACAAAUUUAAAAAUAAAAUGACUGACCACAUUUCGUUGCUAAUGGAUUCGCAGAUUCUUGGAAGGAACAAGAUUGCUUGAAUCUAUGUGCUUCUACUGAUCUGCAACAGAAUGGAGGAAGCAGGAAACGACAGGCCAGAUUGUAAUAUAAAUUUGUCCAAAAGCUGUAAAGGAGGGCCGCGUAUUGACGAUAGAGUUUCAUGUGUUCAACGCCUUUAUGCGUGUGAACAUUUAUGUAAAAUGGUCUCCACUCUCGUGGGGGAAGAGAUCAAAGGUUCAUGAUCAAAUGAUGUGGACCGUUAAAAUUUGAGUUAAUAAUUAUAAUUAUUAUAAUUUUAAAAGAACUAUCUGUUUGUAACCGUUGGAUCAAAUUUCAACAUUCCAAAUCACUUAAUUCUGAACCUUUGAUGGGAGAGAUCUGGAUCGGAUCUCUUCCCCUCUCGUGGAAAUAUGAACAAAAAUUGUCUUUGCAUUGGUGUCCUCACGUGUUGUGUGUUUUUGUCUAAAGUUGUGAUCAAGUGUUCACCGAAAAAAAGUUGUGAUUAGGUUAUGUAGGUAUACUCUUUUUGUUUUAUUUUAUUUGUUUUUGUUUUAUUGGAUGAAGCAAUAUUUUUAUUUUAGAAAGAAGGAGAUUGGGUUAAACCACACAAUCGGCCAACCAUAACUAAGUGUUGAGCUACACAAAUAUUAUAUAUCUCAAUUCAUGAGAAUCGAACUUGAGGACUCUUACUUACAAGUGAAGAUGUGUAAGAUCCCACAUUGCCCAGAGAAGUGGAUCCUGUAAGCCUUAUAUGUAUAUUCACAUCUCUACCUAACACGAGGUCUUUGGGAGCUCACUGUCUUCGGGUUCCAUCGGAACUCUGAAGUUAAGCGCUUUUGCGCGAAAACAUUUCCAGGAUGGGUGACCCAUUGGGAAGUUCUCGUGUGAGUUCCCAGAAAUAAAACUGUGAGGGCGUGGUUGGGGCCCAAAGUGGACAAUAUCAUGCUACAGUGGAGUUGAGCUCGGGAUGUGGUGGGGGCCCGGACCGGAAUGUGACAAGAUGAAUAUAUCACUAAAUUAUAGUAAUAGUUGGUUAUGUGGUUUUAUCUUUAAAAUGUUAAGUGUUAUUGUUUACGGAAAUGAUUUGAAAUAGCGUUACUAUGGUAGUAGCAAUGUCCUCACUUAUCACUAUUAUUUAACAAAUCCACAAUAUCAACAUUAUCAAACCUUUGAGGAAACUUAAAAAAUUCAAGGGGUCAAUCCCAAAACCUUCCAUGGAGGACUUUACAAAUCCUUUUACCCCCUAAUGGAUCCGCCCCUGAAAAUCGAUAAAAAAUAGUGUUAUUCAAGAAUGCUACAAUAAUGCAAUUGUUCGAACACAUUUCCCUAUUUUUGUAUUUAGAAGAGGGAAAAUGAGAAAAUAUAGUAAUAUUCUUCUUCACUUAAAAGUGAGAGGUCUUAGAUUCAAAUUUUGUGGAUGGCAAGUUGAAAAGCAAUUUAUUCUCCCACUCCUUUAAUGUAAAUAUAUUGUUGUAUUAAAAAAAAAAACUAGAUACCCUUUUAUACAAGUUUUAACUUUUAUUUUAAACCAUUUCAACUUAUGUCACCUCUCAUCUAGCUUAAGUCAUUUUUUUAUGAGAAAUUGGAGCAUUAAUCUCUAGACUUUUGCAUAAUUGGAGAUUUGGUCACUAAACUAAAAAUCCAUAAUUGGUGUAUGAACUUGUCACAAUCUUGGAUUAAUCGUUCUUUUGGGAAUCUCAAUUUCUCAAAAAGGACAAAUAAAUGAUGAAAGUUUUAAUUGAAUUAUACAAAAAUGACCAUUUCUCUGUAUUAUAAUAAAUCUAAAGACCAACACUCGUAGAAUUUUUAAUUCUAGUACUAAAGCUCCAAUUGUCUCUUACCUUCUUACCCUCACCUUCUCUCUUUCUUUAAUUUUUUUCAAAAGAAAAAGAACAGAUGAUAAAAAUUAGGGAGUUUUAACGAAAAACCUGCGAUACUGUUCACUUUAACGAAAAACCAUAUUUUACACUAAAAAGUCAAACAUUGUACUAUUCAUUUUACAUUUUAUUUUGUCCUUAUCAUUAAAACUCAAAGUUUUCAAACCCUUUUCAUUAGUUUUCCUUAAAAAUUACCCUUCCCUCUCUUUCUCUCUGUUUUACAUUUUCAACAGAACAAGAUAAAAAAAUUAGGGGUGUGAUAUCUACACACCCCAUUUUAUUUCUCACACACCUUUUUAAUUUUCGGCCGUCGGAUCGGAUGAAUUGAAGAAGAUCAACGGACAUAAAUUAUCAAGGGUGUGUGAGAAGUAAAAUAAGGUGUGUGGAUAGCACACCCCAAAAAUUAAAACCAGGACCUACAUUCAUUCAUUGUCCCUUUUCUUUUCCUUUUCCUUCUCCUUUUCUUUUCUUUUCCAUGGCGGCUGCGGCUAUUAAUUAUUUGGAUUAUUACCGUAGCAGUUUUGGUGUUUUGUUAGAUAAGAGCAAGGUAUUAAAUAUCGAUGAUAUCGGAAAUAUCGGUAGUCAAAAAAUACGGAAAUAUUGAUGGAAAUAUCAGGAUAAUAUCGAUAUUGAUAAAAAUAAUAUGGAAACCACGAAAAUUGUAAGAAAAACUUGAAAAUUUUUAUUGAAACUUUGCAGGAUGUUUAUUUAGUCAAUUAUCUAUUAGUUUAUCAUAAAAAAAUUGGAAGGAAAUGCAUUGCAUGAUGGAUUUAACAUUAUCAAGUUGAUUAUAUAGCAAGCUGGUAAACAUUGUGAGUGUAGAAAAUAUGUAGUAAUUAAUGAAAGAAGUUUAAACACACCAUAAUCAUUUAUAUAUAAUGAAUUAGUACAAUAUUUUACACUUUAUACAUUGCAUGGUAAGAUACAUGAGUGACUUAGUACCACAUAGAGUUUCUAUGAGGUUCAAAUUUUUCACUAUCUUCAUCAUCUCUAUGUGUAGAGUGAGUGUAUUGUGAAGAGUAGUUAUCAAAUGAUAAAUCCCCAAAAUAGUUUUGCAUGUAAUUGUUAACAUGCCACCCAUAUGGAUCCGAGAUUGGUUGACCUUGUUCAUAAGCAAAAUCAUUUGAAGAUUGAGUCUCGGAUUGUUUCCAUGAGUCACUCGAUUCCAUCCCAACAGGAAUGGGAUAUGAAGGGUAGGGAAAUGGUUGGUUAUGAGUAUAACCAUAGUUACUACUUCCCACUCCAACAGAGUCCGAAGUUAUAGAUAACGAGUCAUCUUCUUGACUUGACAAAAUCCCCUUGCCUCUUUCUCUACUAGUAUAGUCCUUCCCUAUGGCACCAAUUCUUGGUCCUGCCCGCCUACUGCCAUGGUCCUCAUCCUGUGUUACAUGCGUGAAGUUUGCCUCACCAGUGAAGGGGCUCAUAAAUCCGGGAGAUGGUCCAACAUAGUUUCCAUAUCCACCACCACUACCUCCAGCUCCACUAUAUCCUUCAUCAUUCCCACCUCCGGUGGUAGGUGAGUCUCCUCCUGAUCUUGUACUAGAGUUAUCAUUAGUAUCAGCACGAUGUUGUGGUUGUGUAGGAUUGGAAGAAGGUAGAAUUCCAGUGUUUCUUGGUCUUGGGUGCAAAAGUUCUUCCAAAGAGUCAGCGCUGCUAGAUCCCACCUCCUCUGCUAAUACUCUUUCUACAUUUAUCCCUUUAUUACGUGCUUCUUCAGCAACUCUGGGAGUUGGGUUGCCUUCAUCAUUAUCUAAAUGAAGAGGUCUAAUCCAUUGAUAAAGUUGGUUACCCUCUGUAUCAUCAUCUUCAGCAACAAUAUCAAACACAUCUAGUGGGUCACCACAGUCGACAUGAUCUAUUUCUGCUUCCUUAUCUCGAAUUUGAAGCUUCAUGUUGUAGUAGCAAUAAACUAAUUUUUCCAACCGACUAUGAGCCAACCUAUUUCUUUGCUUUGUGUGUAUGAGUGCAAAUGUGCUCCAAUUUCUUUCACAAGUAGAUGAGGAAACUGUUUAUGAUAAUACUUUGAUUGCUAACUUUCUCACAGUUGGUGCAUCGGUCCCAUACAUGAUCCACCAUUCAGCUACAAUGAAAAACAAUGUUGAUAAGCCUAAUAACUCCAACAAAUUCUAUUAUAAACUUAUCGUGAAAUAUGUUUACACUCACUAGGAGACAUUUUUGUUCGAGCAGCAACUGAUGUUGGUUCUCCAAAAGUUCUUCUUGCAUCUUUAAACCAUGUUAGCUAAAUUCAAUAAAUCGUGUUAGUUUAAUCCAACAAAGUAAUUAUUAUAAUUUAAGUAAUUGUGUACCUCAUUUCCAAAUUGGCCAACUGCUGGUGAUGCAGGGUCUAAUUUAGAGUAUACAUUAUGUCAACACGUAUAAGGGUACCAUCAUCUCCAACACCGGGUCUGUAUUGGUAUCGAGGAUUUAAAUAAUAUGCUGUUCAAAGAAACACAUACUCUAAUAAGAGAAAUAAUACUUAUGCAACUAAAGAAAUGAAUUGCAAAUUAUGACAUAAUUUAUACCUGCUGUAUGUAAAUCGUGGUAUAAUGUUUUAUACCAUCGGUCUUCAAUUAUCUUUAUGACCCACAUUGCAUCAUGUUUUCUUUCCAAUUCAUCAUUCACUACACGCAUCAACUCAUAUAUUGCCCCCAUAGUAGGAUACACUUUUGUGUCAACGAUCCGUAAAACUUUGUAAAGAGGUUCAAACAUUUGGCACACAUGUUCUGAUUGUGUCCAAAAAGCAUGAUUAAGCACUAUACUUUCCACCAUACGACCUGCAUUUAAGCGGCUCAAAUUAUGGUUGGCCCAAUCGUCACUAGUGAAUAGUUGCUUCAACCCUGCUUUCUUCUUAAAUAGGCUAUCUAAUGCAAUAUAGUUGGUGGCGAAUCGAGUGGUAGCUGGACAAAUAAUAUCUCCUUUGCAAAAUUCAUGCAUCUUUACCAACAACCAACCGUGAUUGUAAAUAUAAUUUAUGAUCGUUCUAGCUCUUUUUACCACAGUAGCAAUUCUCUCUCUUCCUCAUUGCCUCAAACAUGAGAUCAAUACAAUGUGCUGCACAUGAUGUCCAAAACACAUUAUGAUGCUUCAUUAACUUUUUUUCCAGCUUUGACAAAUGCAGAACGGUUGUCGGUCAUGACUUGGACAAUAUUAUGCUCUCCCACCUCCAUGAUUGCAUCCCUCAAUAAUUUGUAAAUAUACUUGUAGUUCUUUAUAUGGUCUGAAUCAUCAUAUGGUCUGAAUCAUCAACAGACUUAAAAAAAAUUGUCUUUCCCAUGAAGUUUAUGAUAAACAAUCUGGUCGGGCCAGUCCAUCUGUCAUACAUGAUUGUGCAACCAUUAGUUUCCCACUUUGACCUCAACUUGUUAACAUACUCACCAAUGUCUUUAUACUCCAUAUCUAAAUAUUUGUUUCUUAUCUCAUAGGGAGUGGGAGGUCGUACUCCAACACCGGCCUGUUGACAUCCCACAACCAUAUUUUUGAAAUGAUGUGAUGAUGCUUUCUCAGCAGGGACAUUUUCAUAGAUAAAGAACUUGCUAAUUAGACGCCCCAUUCCCUCCUUCACAUUACCUCCAGUGAAAUAACUCCAAACACUCUUUUGACGUGCUUUGGAUGACUUAUAUAAACUUGGGGCUAUUGGUGGUGUUGGUUGUGAUUCUCUAAGACUGCCUCCCCGUCUCAUUUGUGCACCACCACUUGUCCUGGAACCUUGUGCUCUAUUAGGAAUUUUAUGAAGGUGUUCUCUUUCCUAUGCUGACUGUUUGGAGGCACGUAAUGCUUGUUUCAAACUGCGUCGUUCUUCAGGUCCCAUGUCAUCAUCACAUUCGUCCUCAUCAUCAUCAUCAUCACUGUCAACUGCUUGGCCAUAGACUUCUCCUCGUAGCCCAGCUCGAAUAUUUUCCAUUCCAUGUGUUAUCUUUUCCUUAUGUUGUUUUUUAUUUUUAAAUAAUGUGCUGAUGAAUGCCUUCACUUCUGGGGGGCCGUUAUUGCAUCGUUGGACAUUUUUUGCUGGAUCUAAUCCACUAAGAUGGUACUUAAGUCGUAUCACUUCGCCACUCUUCAUUACCCGACCACAAUAUUUGCAAAUUGUGCCAUGUUUGUUUCCGUCUAUUGGGUCUCCAUGUUCCCAAGCUAGAUCACGUUUAGUAACUCCACUGGACAUCUUAAACGUACCUAUAUUUAUUUUUCAUGAAAAUUAGACAAUUAUUUUUUGGCCAAAAAAUAUAGUAGUGAUGACGGUUAAAUAAGAGAACCUAAAUAAUAAAGGUAUUCUACAGAAGAAUUAAAUACGAAGUAAAGAAAAUGAUUGUAAAAAUUUAAGUAAUUAUAAAAAUAAUAUGGAAUAAUAAAACCUAAUAUUAAUGAAUAAUAAUCCAAUUUGAUAAAAAAAAAUAAUCCUAAUAUAAAACAUAGUGAUGAAUAAUAAUCCAAUUUAAUGAAUAAUAAUCCAAUUUGAUAAUAAAAAAAACCUAAUAUUAAUGAAUAAUAAUCCAAUUUGAUAAUCAAACCUAAUAUUAAUAAAAUAAUAAAUAACAUUAAACAUAUUAAAAUUAUCCUAGGGAAUAAUUAUACAACAUUACUUAAUUACUUAAAAAAAUUAACAUGUAAUUGUUAACAUUACUUAAUUACUUACAAAAAUUAACAUGCAAGUAUUAAUUACUUUAAAAAAUUAACAUACGAGUCCACACAAAUUUUUUGUUGUUGUAUAAAUUACAAUAAUAUAAAUAUAAGUUUGUAAACUUACUUUAAAUAUGGAACCUUUGUGUUCAAGCUCUGGAAUGGAUCUGGAAUGGCUUUGAAAGGGGUAAGGGAAGAAGAAGAAACGAAAAUGCUCUGAAUGACUCUGAUACUCCACCUCUGAGAAUGUGAAAGAAUAUCACAAACUCACAGUGGCACACGGUUUUGAAUGUGAAAGAAUAUCACAGACUCACAGUGGCACACAGUUUCAUUAUGAAAGUACUAUUAUUUUUGUCUAUGGUCUGUGAUUGUAAAAGUUGUCAGGUGAGUGUGAGUCAGAUGACCCAACCACACACACACACCGACACACACACACACACACUGACACGCCACCACACACGCACACAACAUAACACACGCACACAGUCUAUUUUUCUCGAUCCUUCUCUCUUCUUCUCUGAUCUCCCUUCUCCCCCUUCUCCAUUCUCCCACACACAUGCACAGAGACCCAAGGUCUCUUGAUCCUUCUCCUACAUCACCUUCUGCUCCUCCCUCGUCGGCGCCGUCUCUCUCAUUUCUCUCUGCACCGAGGGUCCGAGACCCACAUACACACACGCACACCAUCGCACCUACUUCAGGAAGACACCCAUCAUCAUCAGCAACCUCGUAUUUCUCCCUCUCAUUCUCGUCUCUGCAACUCGGCGAACGCAAGAACUCCUGCGAGGUUCUUGAAUUUCUCCGGUUAGGUAAGCUUCGGGUUUGCCUCUUUCUGUUCUAGAUUGAAGCUUAUAUGUGAAAUUUAAGUUCAAAAUCGUGUUUUUGCAAGGUUUUUGGGAUGAAAUUGGCUCGGGAAUAGGCACACCCAUCUUCGGCGAGGCCGUGGGUGUUGACGAACUUUCCGAACACCUCUGACCGUUUCACGGAAAACGGAUUUUAUAAAAACAUUCAUCUCGUCUUCUAUUUCAUUUUGAUACCUAGAUCGGAGUCUAGGGUGCUCUUUUACAGUCGGCCGGAGCUGUAGAAGCUCUGGCGUUCUUAUCCGGUUAGCACAGUUCCAACAUAUUGCGAUAGUUUCGAAAAAAUCGCGAUAUUUUGACGAAAACCCGUUGGAUACCUAUUAAAAUAUCGUUACCGUGAAAAAUCAAUAAUAUCGGCGAAAUAUCGCCGAUAUUAUCGGCAUUUAAGACCUUGGAUAAGAGUAAUUAGCAUGUUGAUAGAGUUGUUUAGUGUAAGUUAUAACUUAAUAAAACAAAUGUCCAAUGUGUUACAAGAGAAAGAGAUGGUAACAAUUAAAGUAAAAAAACAAUGAAGUACAACUGUCACUGAUUUUUAGACAGGAGUAUGAUUCUCUUUCCUCUUAUUCUUAUCAUUUUCCCUCUCCUCCUGUCACAUUUUAUUUUCUAUCUUUUUGUCCUUAUAAAAAUAAUUAAUUUAAAAUGUUAACGUGAUUUAAUCGUAAAUGUUCAAAUAUGAUGAGAGUAAAGAGGAAAGAAAGUCCUCCUCCUUUUAGAGGACUAUCCUCUUUUCUCUCUCUCUUCUUUUUGGCCAUGAGAUUAUCAUCUUCCAUUAAUUUGCUACAAGCUUUAACAAUACUAUUAAGACAAUUUUAUACUAUAAUAUUUUUAUAUUAAGAAGUGGAAGAGUAAAUUAGUAUUGUUGCUUCCUGCAUUUCCAUCCAUAGAGUACUUUUGAAAGAUGUGCUCAUUACAUGAGUUAUAUAAAGAAGGGAAACAUAAUGUAUAAUCUUAAUAAGUUGAAACCUUUUGGCAAAAGUGUAAUACUCAAUUGGUGGAGCAGGUAGUAAUUAAAGUUGAAGAAAUCAAUUAUUGGCAGUGUGUAGAGUGUGUGGAUUAAUCGACCUCCAAAAAUAUCUUAUGAGAAUUGAAUUUACAAGUGAAAAAGAAUACCAUUAAAUCGUAAAAAUAAAUGGUGAAAUUCCUUCCUUUAAACAAUCUAUACAUGGACUUUAAAGAGUGAUGUUAGUUGAAAAUGACAAAGAAGUCAAUCCAGCAUCGCCGACUAUUGACAGAAUUCGUAUUGGAGUUGUAUUAGGUAACAGUCUUUGAAAUUUGGCUGAAGUGUUUCCCACGUCAAUGCCGCCUUAUUCUUUUUAGGCUUCUGCUGUUCUAUUUUAUUCCCACAUUGGAAUAUUACACUUACGACACUUGAGUUAGGUAGGUCGCCAUUACCAGUACGUAAGUGGUGCCUAAAUCAGCUCCACAUUAGUCGAAGUGAAUGAUUCGUAGCCUUCCAUGUGAGACCAUGCAGUUUUAAUUUUGUUUCUAGUUAGUGUUUGGUUUAGUAAAGUUUAAAGUCGCAAACUUUGAAUUCAAAACGUUUACUAGGUGUCACUUAGUACUACGGUUUAGUGAUAUUUCUCUUUGUAAGUGAGAGGUCUUAGGUUCGAUUCUCGUCAAAGACGAAUUCGAACCACAUUAUUGCUAACCUAUUGUGAGACUAACUCACUUCCCCACCUCCUUAGUGUAGAUCGUUUGUUAAAAAAAAACGUUAAACAGGUAUUUUGAGUACCAGACUUAGAUCUUUACCUUCACCAUUUGUUUCCACUCGCAUCACUUUUUCGUCUCGUAAGUUUUCUUUGUUCUGUGUCCAUUAGUUGGCAAGAGAAAAUUGACUAUAGGGAUGCACCCACAAGCCAGCUGCUAAUCAAGUUUAUCAUUUAUUUACGUAAUGUGGUGUUAGUUUAAAAGUUUCAAUGACUUGCAUCCCAUACCCUUUUUGGUAGUUGGUAAACAAUAAUAUUAGAGGCACUCCACCACCAACUCUAUUUAACAAGGGUUUUUUUUUUUUUUUUUUUUUUUUUUUUUUAAUCACAAAUGGUCCUUAAAAUUGACUCCAUCAAUCAUGAUGGUCCAUGAAAUUGAAAAUUGAUCAAUGUAGUUCUUGAAUUUUAACCUCGCGAAUCAAUGUCCUUCCGUUAGUGUUCUGUCCAAAUUAACUUUAAAAAAAGUCAGACAACCAAUUUUUGAUGGUAAAAUGACCAAAAUAACCCUAUUACUUAUAAUUUGACUUACUACCUCUCUUUUCCUUUCUCCAUCUUCACUUUUCCCUCCAUGUUUUCAUGGAUUUGGCGAUAAACCUAAAAUAAAAAAAUAAAAUAAAAAGCGGGAAUUUUUUAUUAUUUUUAAUAUCAAGUAAAAAGAAUUCUAACUAAAACUAAAAGAAUGAAAUAAUCAACAGAUGAACUCGUCAUUUCCAACAGAAAUUGAAGCUAGAGCUUUAAUGUCAUUAUACUGGAAGACUUUUCUCUUUAGGCCAUCUCCAACCGAAGGGUCCAGAGGGCCAGAGGGCCGAAAAUAGCCAUAAAACCGUUUCCAACCGAGGGUUAGGCUAGAGGACUCAGGAAUUUGGAAGGGUCCCACGAAAUUUCAAAGGGCCAAAGGGCCAAAGGGUUGGCCGGCCGUUUUUUUAUAGUUUUGUUAUUCCUGUCGGUUAGAACCGACAGGAAUACAUACUAUUAUUUAAUAUACUAAAUAAUGGCAUGUAUUCCUAUCGAUUAUAACCGACAGGAUUUUUUUUAAAUUCAAAUGAAACGGCUACUAGCCGUUGCAUUUGAUUUGAUAUUUUUUUUUUACAUUAUUAUUAUUAUUUUUUAUUUACAAAAUUUUUCAUAUAACUUCUAUUUUUUCCUAUAACUUUUAUUUCACAAAAUUUGGUUCAUAUUUUUUUUUAAAUUCCAUUUUUUUCCUAUAACUUCUAUUUCACAAAAUUUGUUUCAUAUUUUUUUCCUAUAACUUCCUAAGCCAUUAUACAACAUUAAAUUAAAUUAAGUAACAUGAAACAACAUUAAACAAUAUGAAACAACAUUAAAUAACAUUAACCAACAUAAAAAUUAUACAACAUGAAACUUAAACAACAUUUUAGUUGUAGUUUUUAAAUAAUAAAUUAUGUUUGGCCCUAUGGCCCUUUGGCCCUUGGUUGGAGACGGUUUUUUGUGACAGGGCUAAAACGAGCCAUCUGGCCCUCUGGCUCUCGGUUGGAGACGGAGGCAAAUAUGGCCAUGUACUGUUCAUUAAAAUAUUAAUAUCUUGAGGAAUCUUGGAGGGCCAGAGGGCUAAAACGAGCCCUCUGGCCAGCCCUCGGUUAGAGAUGGCCUUAGAGAUCUUCACCAAUUCAUUUACAAUCUUAUCCAUCCCUUUUUUUUCUUCAAAGAAAUUGGGCUAGCUCCAAAAUCUAUUGCCAAAGUCCACCUUUGAUCAUUUCUCUUGUCAAAGAAAUUGGGUACCAUCACCUGCCAAAUUAUUCAUUUUCUUGUUUUUUUUUGUGUGUGAAAAAACUGAAAGUAAUAAAUGAUAGUGUAACAAUUGUUCUGUUCAUAGAGCUAUCAAAUACAAUUGAGAACGUGGGACCGAUGCUUUCGUUUUGAGCAAAGCUAUCAAAUACAAUGAACAUGUAACAAUGUAAAGUUGUCCAAUCCAAAAAUCCCCAAACUCAUCAUCCCAAUUCAAACUAUGUGUUAUCUGCAACUCUUCAUCUAAGUUCAUAACACAUCAAAUAAUUCAUUUCUUGCCAUUAUUUACUUGUCAACUUGAGUAGAAGAUUGAACCUCAUAUAUUUCCCACUUCCAAUUAUCACUUGAACGUCGGACCAUGUACAAAUCAACAAUUUUGUUCACAGGCAAGUCUUCAAUCAAAUUCAUCACAUUUGCAUCGCAUUUCAUCUCUUCAAAAGUCCCAUCAGGAAGCUUCUUAUACUGUGCUAACUCCUCAUCAUAUUUUAGGUCCUUUGCAAUAUUGUGACAUUCUACCAACGAUUGCAUGUCACAAUCAAUCCAAUCGAGAAAUAUAACCUCACCCCCUGUGUAUACUUCCUUGCGUCCUUUUUUAAUCAACUGACCUCCAUAGUGAAUUUUAUAAGUUAAAAAGCUGGGAUUAGCUACAAGACAUAUAAAUUCAAGUCAAUAUUAUGUUACACUUACAAUGAAUAGGUGUAGACUCGGCGUUUCUUACACAACACGAAAAUAACGGGUUUUGGGUCAACAUGAUAACUAAUCGGAUCAUUAUCGGGUGACCUGUUAAGAACCUGUUAAUAACAGGUUCUUAAUGGGUAUACAUGCGAGUAACACGUGGGUAAUCCAUUUCGACCUGUUAAGAAAAAAAUUAUUUUGAUAAUUUUAAAGUUUAAUUACUAAAAGAUUUAUUAUAAAAUACAAUAGCCAUAUUAAUAUAUACAAUAUAUUCUAUAUUAAAUAUAUAGUUUUGUAUUAUUAUUCCAUAUAAGUUACAAAAAAAAAUUGUAGUCAUUAUUUAUUUUUAUCAUGAGAGUUCCUUAUUAUCAUUACUAGGAUAAAUUUUACUUAACAUGUUGUCCAAAAUUAAAAUAAACUAGUAUAGUAUUUGUAUAGGGAGGAACUAAGAAGACAUACAUACAAGUAUGAAAAAUGUAAAAGAAUAUAUAAACACUCGUGAUUCAUCAUUAUUCGUCCACAAGUAGAUAAUGGUUAUGCUUACAUUAUCAUUUAUAUUUUUAAAAUCCUCCAAACCCUCAUGAAUAAUGUUUUUUAUUUGAGGGCAAAAUUAAUAAAAAUUAUUGUAGAAGUGUAAAAAAUGUAUAUAUAUAUAUAUAUAACAUUACAAUCACUCAUAGUGACAAGCUUUACAACUUUCAUAAAGGGGUCAGCUUCAAAAUCCAACACUAUAAUCCUUAAACUUUAAAUUUAUAUUUAACCGUCGAUUUUCAUUUACGAUUUAUUCUUCUUACUGAAUUUCAUUUUUCAAAUUUUCCUUUUUGAAAACAUGAUCAUCUGGUGGAUGUAAGAAGAUGAACGGUUUAGAUCUUAGAUAUCACGUUUCGAUGUUUACGGUUAACUGAAAUAUGAGUUGAUGUCAUAUAGUGUGUAGAAACUUCAUAAACAUCAAGCAAUAUUUUCACUAACCGUAAAACUCUAAAUAUAAUUUCAAUGAUCCAAACCGUUCAUCUUCCUACAUCCUCUAAUAGAUCAUGUUUUCAAAAAACAAAAUCUGAAAAAAACAAAAUUUGAUGAGAACAAUGAAGCGUAAAUGUAAACAACAAUCAACGGUUAAAUUUUAAUCUAUGAUUUAUAUGAUUAUAGAGGUGAAUUUCGAAGUUAAGCUCUUCAUGAAAGUUGUAAAGCUUGUCAUUACGAGCGUUUAUAUUUUUUUUCUAUAUUUUUUUACACUUCUACAUUAAUUAAAAAACUAUUAAAGACUUUACUUAAAUAACAAUCGUAAGAUAAAUGAGAGUAAAUAUGUACCGUUGGAUUCUAUUUCACUUAUAUUAUUAGAACUUUUUUGGACGAAAAAACCCCUUCUCUAUUCCAAUAUUUUCCAAUUUUACCAUUUGAUCAAUUUAGGUAAGCGAAAAUAUACUUAAAAGAAAAAUGUGUUUUUAUGUUUUGGAUGUGACAAUAUGGUAUGUAUAUACUUAUUUAGUAUUAUGUUUUUCAUUUGAUUAUUUAUUGGUUUAAAAUAUAUUUUCCUUAAUAGGUAACAGGUCGGGUCAUAUUACCUGUUAAUAUUGUCGGGUCCACUACAAGAAAACAUGGCUUUUGUGACUACCAACAUUAGUCACAUAAAUAUGAAAAAUCAUCACAUUUGACUAUAUGUGACGAAAUUUCAACGUCACAAUUAGCGUCACCGAUAGUUUAAGUGACGAAUAUUGGAGUCACCACAUAUUUUCCUUUUACGUGACGCUUCUUUCGUCACGUAUUAUUCUAAUAUGUGGCGAAACUAGUGUCACAAAAUACAAAAUUCAGUGACCUAUGUUUUUCGUCUCAUAUCAUACUUAUAAGUGAUGCUUUUUGGGUCACUCAAUAUGAUCCCAGAAUUAUAUAAUUACACUAAGUGACGCUGAAAUCGUCACAUAUUCUUUUGAUGAGUGAAGUGGCUUAUGUCACAUAUGUUAUAAUCAAAUAACUAUUUAGGAAUAAUAUUUGAGGAAUUCAUUACUUAUUCGUGUUUCGUAAUCUAGAAUAGCAACUCAUGACAAUUAUAAGGUAAUACUUCCCAUUUUCAUUAAUCAACAAUUAAACCACAUAAGUUCGAAUAUGUUCAAAAACUAUACAUUCAACAAAAUAACAUAAACAUCCCAAAAUCAAUCUAACCCAUGGUGACCUAUAUCCUAAUAAUGGCAAUUUGUGAAGAAGGGUACCAAGGCCUAUACAUGGACCGUUUAAGAUACUAAUUAACAAAAGAAAAGUCUAAGACACAUUGAGGUGCUAACAAAAAGCUCUACCAUGUGCAUACUUAACUAAUAACAAAAGACAUAAAUAUCGAAAUCAUUCUUUUUCCGAGUCAUGUUCUUCGAGUUCAGGAUAAACAUUUUCACUAGAUGAGUUAUUACUAUCAAAUUCCUUCGAGUUGUCGUUGGUUUGCCCCUAACUUGCAGCCAAAAAAGCCUUAAUUUUUUAUGCCAAGGUUUCAUUAUCCAACCGAGCUCUCAAUUGUUCAUUUUCUUGUUGCAAUUUGAGGAAACCAUUUGAUAGAAUCUUGAUCUGAUCUCUCAUAUCAGUUAACUCAGAACUUGAAGCCAUAGAAGAGACACAACUAAAGGUAUCCGUACGUAGGAAAAGACCUACACCGUUAACAGAUUUUCCCUUCCUUCCAAGGUUCUUAGCCAUGAUUCCAAAUUCAUCUUCCAAUGGUACUUGUAUGGAAUCGAAUAUAGUACCCUCAUGCGCUUCUUGGCUUAGCUUCUCCCUAACUUCAUCUUUCUUUUUCUUCAUGUUAUCAUUUCAUAUUAAAUUACAAACAAAUAAGUUUCUUUUGUUUGAAACAAAUCAGCCACAUAUAUGCUUAAGAAAACACCACGUAAAUACUUGGAUGUGAUCCUGAACUGAUGUAGAAUUAAACCAUUGGGUAUAAAUUGUCUUUACAUAUGAUUUUGUAGUUUAUGCUUCAAUGUGUUUUACAUAGGAUUAGGCAACAUACAACGUACAACCUUUAAAGUAGUUUAUGUUUGAAUGUAUAUUAGGUACAACCUUUCAGCUUCUAGCUAGUUAUAUUAAGUUUUUUUUUUUUAAUUCAAUCUUGCAUGUUCACUUUAUUUGUGUUUCCUAAGUUGUAUCAUGUCAAAUUUGAUUUUUUUAAUCUCCAUCUCCCUUAAAAUGACACAAACGAUAAGUUCGUGAAUGACUUACAUAUUUGUCCAGGGCAACAUCAUUUAUCCAUUAACCGUUCUUGUCUUUAUGGAGAGCCCCCCAAUUGUUAAUCACAGAUAAUGGAUUUCCUUUCUGCUCAAUGAUGCAGAAAUAUACAUUAGAAUAUGUAAAUUUCAUAAUGAGUAUAAUAAGUAAUUUAAUUUCAUUACCAUCUGGGCCUUCUUAGCAUGUUGGAUAAAUGGCCUAGCCCCUCCUUUGUGGUGAUACUUCUCUUCCUAUUAUUAGCAUUUUGCUUUGAAAGCUCCUACAUUACACAUUUGGUACAUGACAUACAAAAGAAGAUUUAGUUAGCUAUACAUGUGUACAAUUUGGAAAGUUCCAAGCUCUCAAACUUGUCAUAUAUAACGUCAUGUAUUUCAGUUGUACAUAUUCAUUCACCUUAGAGGGCUAUCUCACCUCACCUUCUAUAUUCUCUCGGUCAACAAUGUUAGAAACAUCACAAGCUAAUGAAAGAGAAACUUAUAAACACCAAGCUUAAGGAAAUUGAAUGGAAGAUACUAUUUCUUCUACCAAGGGCAUUAGGCUAACACAGUUAGUCAGAUGAGUAUAUGAUAACCAUUUUCAAACAUUAAAUUUUAACUCCAAAUUACCUAAGUGUCAAGAAUUAACAAUCAACAAACUUCAGAUUUUAACUCAAAAUUACCUAAGUGUAAAGAAGUAACAAUCAAUUUAACCACAAGGUGAAAUUCAUUAAUGCAUGUUAGGAUAUUUUUAUUUCAAACAUGGCUAUUGAAACUAUUAGACGAUAUAGGGUGACUGAUGCUGCAUAUAACUGAUGAUGCAUAACUAAUGCUGCAUACAUAUGGGGUGACUGAUUAUUAGAUGAUAUGGGAUGACUGAUGCUGCAUACAUAUGAGGUGACUGAUGAUGCAUACUGACUGAUUAUUAGACGAAAUGGGGUGACUGAUAUUGCAUAUAACUGAUGCUGCAUAUGACUGAUGUUGCAUACAUAUGGGGUGACUGAUGCUGCAUAUGACUGAUGCUGCAUAUGGAUAUUAGACGAUAUGGGAUGACUGAUGCCGCUAGAUUUUAUGUUUCCUCUUUCCAUGGGAUUCUCUAUUAAGUUUAAUCCUUUAAUUUGAGGAAGAUUGACAUCUAGAUGAUGUGUUGAUAGUUGUGUGCUAGCUAUUUGCUGCACUCCCUUAAUUUAAAGAGUGACAACUUUAGGGUUUAUCGGGUUAGUAGGAUUUGCCAAGGUAGGGUUGCUUGUAACCUUUUACCUCAUUAUAUAUCCCCCUUUGUACAUUCAAUCAAUCUAUGAAAAAUACAUUCAAACAAACUUAAAAUUUUCACAUAAACAGAGGUUAUAUUUACCUUUGCCAUAUUCCUAAUUCUAACCUAAUUAAAUAGGUGUUUAAGCAUAUUUGAAAAUUACAAGUAAAAAAGUGUGUGGCUGUAUAGCCAAGUAAGCUAAGAUACAUAAAUCCUAUCCUAACAAUAUAUAAAUGUUAUAGACAAACAACAUGAGAUCUUAAUCACACUCAAAGAAACAAAAUUCAUUUAAAACUAACAGUUGAAACACUAAUCGGUAGCCUGCAAAAUGACACUAAGCAAAUGAGUUCUAUAAGAACAAAUCAGAUGAAUAAAGCCACCAACUAUAAGACAGGGAAAAUCUCAAUAAAUAAAGGGAAAAUACAAAACAAAAGGUAACAAAGCCAAGAUGUAGAAAUUUUAGUCAUAAAUACUGAAGAUAAAUAAAGGCCCUCUAAACAUGCCAGUGCAAAAUAUAUCCAAAUCACCAAACUAAAUGUGUGCCAUUGCUAAACAUAUCUAUAAAGGCUGGGAUUAGAAUCUAACCAGUUAAUGAUGAAGGAACUUUCAAUAGUUGAUCACAGCUUUCCAUUGUUCUCAUGUGAAUAGGCAUGCCAUCACAGUGUAGUAGAAAAGGAAAGCUGCUCAAAUUGAUGAUCUCACUCAGGAAUUCAGAAACCAGAAAAUGAGCAUUCCUAACUUAGUCUAAAUGGCCUCCACUAAAGCCAACUCAAAAUUAAAAAUACCACAUAUGCAAACUCAAUUAUUUAAAAAGCUUAUAUUACAUUUAGCAUAAACAAGAACACGAACACAUACUAGAGGGAUAAUAUAUGACGUACUUUCAAAUAAAAAUUCGCCAUUACUAAGCACUUGAAAGUUAUAAGUUACUUGAAGUGAGUUGUCUUAUCAAGCUUGAAAUUAAAAAGAUUAUAUUCAUAUCCUUUGUCAAUAUUAGAGAUCUUUAAGUGUUCUUUUUUCCUUUUUCCCUAUUCAAGCUAGUUUAAACGUUUAUAAUUAUGAUGGGAUAGAAAUGAUGAGAGGCAAAUAUACUAGCUUGUCGAACAAAAUGUGUGAGGGGUUCAGUACAACAAAUUAAAGUUCGAAUGUGUCAUAUCCCGACCCGGGCCCCCACCGCAUCCCAGACUCGACUUCGUUGUAGCACGAUAUUGUCCGCUUUGGGCCCCGACUACGCCCUCAUGAUUUUGUUUCUGGGAACUCACACAAGAACUUCCCAGUGGGUCACCCAUCAUGGGAUUGCUCUCACGCGCUACUCGCUUAACUUCGGAGUUUCGAUGGAACUCGAAGCCAGUGAACUCCCAAAAGGCCUCGUGCUAGGUAGAGAUGGGAAUAUACAUAUAAGGAUCACUCUCCUGGGCGAUGUGGGAUCUUACAAUCCACCCCCCUUAGGGGCCCAACGUCCUCGUCGGCACACCACAACUAGGGUUAAGCUCUGAUACCAAAUUGUCAUAUCCUAGCCUGGAUCCCCACCACAUCCCAGGCUCGACUCCGCCAUAACACGAUAUUAUCCGCUUUGGGCCCCGAUUACGCCAUCACGAUUUUGUUUCUGGGAACUCACACAAGAACUUCCUAGUGGGUCACCCAUCAUGGGAUUGCUCUCGCGCGCUACUCGCUUAACUUCGGAGUUCUGAUGGAACCCGAAGCCAGUGAAUUCCCAAAAAGGCCUCGUGCUAGGUAGAGAUGGGAAUAUACAUAUAAGGAUCACUCUCCUGGGCGAUGUGGGAUCUUACAAUCCACCCCCCUUAGGGGCCCAACGUCCUCGUCGGCACACCACAGCUAGGGUUAGGCUCUGAUACCAAAUUGUCAUAUCCUGGCCUGGGCCCCCACCACAUCCCAAGCUCGACUCUGCCGUAACACGAUAUUAUCCGCUUUGGGCCCCGAUUAUGCCCUCACGGUUUUGUUUCUGAGAACUCACACGAGAACUUCCUAAUGGGUCACCCAUCAUGGGAUUGCUUUCGCGCCCUACUCGCUUAACUUCAGAGUUCCAAUGGAACCUGAAGCUAGUGAGCUCCCAAAAGGCCUCGUGCUAGGUAAAGAUGGGAAUAUACAUAUAAGGAUCACUCCCCUGGGUGAUUUGGGAUCUUACAUAAUGAAUAUUUGUAAAGUGGGAAAACAAGUUUGGAUGUGAAAAUGGCAGCUUGUUGGAAAUCAAUUGCUAUCUAUUUUCUUGGGGCUAUGUGGCUGUUUUAAAAUUGGUGGACGAAAAACUGACCAAAAUUCCUCUGGUCCUCAUCUCACCACCCAAGCUAAAUGACUGGGAUAGUUUAUUUUAGUUUAGUCAGCUUUCUUGGAUUUAAGGACACAAAACAUGAUUGAAGCAUUGAGGUGGAAGCUAUUCUGUCUAAGCAAAAUGUCACAUCUAUAGAUCUACUUUAGGAUUUAGGACAAAUAAUCUAAUAAUCUAAUCAGGCAGUACAUGUGAAUCUUUUUGAGAACAUUCUGUCAUCGAAAUUAUGGAGAUAUAAUCAUGUUUGGAUUUUUGAAAUAGCAGUUUCCUAAUAAUCAAAGUUCAAAGUAAUUAAAAUUCAGAAAGUGGAUUAAUCAUCCUUAAACCCAGGCAACCAAAAAAAAAUUACAAACCUAACUAAGAUUCUCAACCAAAUUCAUUACCUAAAAUAACUUAAAAUUACAGUGAUAGAACGAAUCUAAGAAAAGCACCAUAAGGUUAAGACUAAACAAAAAGCUAAAGGGAAAAGGAUAGAGUCUAGAGAUUGAGAACAUACCCAAAGUUUUGGAGAACGAAAUGCAGAAAAGUCCCCUGUAUUGGGGAUUCCAGAGCUUGAAUAUCCGAGCACUUCGAUGGUGACGGAAAACAGACGGGCGAUAUUGGGACUACUAAAAGUGCAAACAAACUAAAAAACUAAAGGAGAUUCGAUUUACUCAUACUUAUUGUGGAGGCUUUCUAUUUUUUUGAUAUAUUUAUGGCAUCACAAUCAACCUAAAUCAUCCUCGCAAACAACCAAACUCGAAUUAUUCCUGACAAUUCUCUAAUUUAGUCGAAUCUAACAAGUUUCAUUGAAUCUCAUGUAAAAAAUUCCCAAUAUUUUUUCAAACCCUAAGUCUUACAGUAAAAAAGAAUUCACAGAAGAAGGAGGAAUGGGGAAGAGUGAGGAAAAGUACGAGAUUUAGUGGGAGAAGUGAAAAAGUGGGAAGGGAGGAAUAUGAUUAGUAUGGUAUUAUUAUCAUUUACCAUGAAAAAGUUGUCAAGUUUCCUUUUUUAACGUUGAUUUGGACGGAACACUAAUGGAAGGACGACAUUGAUUUGCAGGGUUAAAAUUCAGGGAUUAUAUUAAUCGAUUUUCAAUUUCAAGGACCAUCAUGAUUGAUGGGGUCAAUUUCAAGGACCAUUUGUGAUAAAAAAAAACCCUUUAACAAAUGAUGUAUUUGUCAUUUUUCGUUUACUUUCCUUUUAUUUAUUAAUAAAAGUGGUGGAGAAGGAACGAGCGAGGGAUUUCUAGGUGUAGUGGUUCUCAUCCUUAUGGGGGAGGGUAUGUGCCUUGCAAGCAACUGUGAGACAAUGAUUUUUCAGGGUCAAAUUAAAGCUGAUCUAAAUAUAGUUACCUUAGAAGUCCGGUUAUGGACUCAUCAGCUCCAGGCGGAACUGUAUCAGACGGAGUAGCGGUGCUACCCUCACUCUACUCCGGGAUAAUAGGUGAAGUCCUAAGUGACUCCGCUUGAUGACAAUGUUUGUUUUGCAAGAAAUGUGAUUUGACACGGAUAUGGACACAAUCAUAUCCUAUAAGUCUUAGAGUUCCUACAAUCUAGGAAUUGGCGUGCUACUCAAAUAAUCAUAACUCCUAAGAGGAUACAAUCUCUACUUCUAAAUACCUAAUAGGAUUCUCCCAGCUUCGAAUGAGGAUUUUAUCUUAAAAAUGUUUCUCUCCCCACAGUUUAGAUAUACCCAUUUAGGGUUCAUCUGUGGUAACCCAAUCUAAACACUUCAAUUCUCUUGCUCACUGUUUGAGUCUAAAAUCAUUCACUAACUUGACCGUCCGGGAGUCUUUAGCCAACACAUUCCUGGUCUCAGGCUUGCUUAUGGUUGUUACUAUUUUGCAGGUUGCUCAAGUUUGUACUUAACCACCACUCAUGGCAAUGCGCGAAUUUGGCUUCAACAACUACUAUUGUUGGAAAACUUAUCUCACCUAAUCUUUCUUCAUCAAACUGAAAAAAAAAAGAAAAAAAAGAAAGAAAAAAACAAUGUCUCUGUAUAUAUGUAAGAGUCGUACUUGUUAAAAAUAAAUGAGAUUUAAAAGUCGGUCUUUGUUGUGAUGAAUAAUUAGUGUAGAAAUUUGGUACCUGUAAACAUUACUCGUUUGCAAAAGCAUUUAUAAUGUUGUGGUAGGUAAUAUUUGCAUCAACUAGUGUUGUGUGUUAUAAUGUAAAAGUUUAAAGGUCUGGCCAUAAAGUUGCAGUGUAGCAUCAACGAUUACAAGAACAGAAACAAGUUUAUCACAUAGAAUUUUUGGGUAUUUGCACUAACUAUGCAUAUUUUUUUUCUUUUCUAAAAUGAUAGUUUAUGGGAUCAUAACAACAGUGAUAUGUUCUAAUUGUCAACUAGUUGAGGACUGUUUUGGCUUUUACAUAACUGUACUUGAUUUGAGACAAUACUAACAUGUGAAAUUCUUAUUUGGUACUAUAAUAUUGUCUCAUGGUAUAAUGUUAUACACGUAUUUUAACAAGUGUUUUAUAUAUUGAUAUGUGAUAUAGCAGCGGUGGUUGGAAUUUGAUAGAGCAUAGUCUACAUAACAGCAACCACAUCAAACCACACAAAACAAGAAUAAUUUCAUGAAAAAUUAUUAACUAAGAUUAUGGAAAGUUUGGAGGCCUUGUGGAUUUGGUGUGAUAAUUUGAGAUUUUUUAUUCCAAGCGAUAUUACUAUUCUAAACUAUACUAAUCACAAAGUAUGAAACUAGUUUAAAUUCGAUACAGAAUAAGUUGAUCAUGAGGCUCUAUCUGCUGGACAAUCUAUCACUUGUGAGCGCGUUCAAUAGCGUGCCACCUUAUGGUUCGGUUCUUUUUGUAUAAAGAAACUCCUCUUUCUGAGGCUUCUUCCACUCUUGACCUGGCCAGGUUCCUCCUAGCUCAUGUCUUCUUACCGGGUUCUUCCUAGCUCUUAGUUCAGGCCGUAAUUGUAAAUAUAGAACUAAACCCGUAUUUGGAGUUGCUCGAGCUGAGUCUUCUGUUCUUUCUUGUUCUUUCUAUUUCGUUUCAGCUAGUAUGAUCCUCUUCUGCUAGUGUCAUUUGAGUAGCAACUAGGCGUCGCCUAUAUAUACAGCAAGGCUCAGUGUAGCUAGAGUUGACCGAAUCGUGGGGUCUGCGCCAAGUAAGAAAGAUCUUCUCCCUCCCUUCUUUCCUAUUCUAAUCUCUGGUUUUCUGGAAAGCCCCUCUUAUCAUUCUUUUUCCAGCAGUGGUAGCUAAGUCUAUCUCCUACCUAUGUGAGAAGAGUAAGCAAGCUACCUUGGACUGAGCCUCAAGCUAGUUCAGUUUCGGCUCCUAGGUUUAUGUGUAGAGAAAUGCGCUCAAUAGUUACGUCAGCUAUUGGUUCGCGCAAGUAGUUCCCCUCCGGCUAGUUCAUCCAGGUAAGCAACGUCUACUGCACGGGGAGUGGUGAGGGCGAGGUAUAAAGCCAAAAGAAGUUGGAGUUCCCCGCCAUCACCUCGCCUAGAUAUGGGGCUUCAAACCCUAAAGUUGCAGAGGCAAGUUCCAACCGAGGUAGGAGAUCCAUCAUAUCCAUACGAACAAACCAGCACAGGUAGCAGUGGUUGCCUUUACGUUUAUAGGGGGCUCGACCUACAACGGGAAGAACAGCGGGGGUAACAACCCUUAUAAUCUUAAGAUCAUAAGGACACGCCGGGCAGGUGGAAUUCAUUAUGUAGUUCUAAGGGCAAUGGCAACAACCCCUGCUACGAUAGGGAUACGCGAACAACUAAACCAUUGACUAAUUGAAGACUAAUGCCACACCUAUUUGAUUUCAUACACAUGCGACUCAAGAGCAGGGGUAGCCAACUCAGGCGGAGAUGGAUAAAACAAGGCGGAAUGCGGGAUAACAAAUUGUUCAGUUUGUCGGGAAGGGAAACUAGUUCUGCUGGUGAAAUGGUUGCUGCACUGACUGCACACUGGACUAGCUAAUCAAAGAAUGCGCUGCUGGAAAGAGGCUGGGAUGCUACCCUUGCUUCUGAAACCAACUGGAUCGACGGGUUUCACAACUGGCUAUGGCUCUCAAAUCGGAAGGUAUGUUGCGGGCCUAGGAACUGGAUAUGCAUCUAUAACUGGCUAUAGAUCUCAAACUGAAGCAAAAGCCUUUGAAACAUCAACAUUUGGUUCCGCUAUCACGCCUAUGCUGCCCAAGUGCACUUUCAUAUCAUAAGGUGCGACGUGUACCGGGCAAUCAAUCGGAGGCGCUCCACUGGGCUGUAAUAUCGAAUGAGAGUCAAAAUAUCCCCCCCGGGGGAUGACCUUGAAAAUACGUGACGUCCUAUACCAUCCAUCUGUGCUAAGAAAGGUUAUAUGUAUAAGGGCUAGGUUUCAUCCAUCUCAACAGCUAGUGUUUAUAAGAGCUCUAGUUCAUCCGUAGUUCCGUAUGUCUCAGCUAAGGUGGAGUCAUAGGCAAGUGCAACUCAAGUGGAUUCAGUGCCUGUUGAAGUGGCAAUCCCAUAACGAGUUUAUGAUUUGGAUCCAUACCCGGUGGAUCGAGUCUCCCGAGUCCAAGCGCAAAUUGCUAGGGUAGCAGUGGGAAAUAAAGGAGCAGAACCAUUCGUUGGAGAGACAGACGGUCAGUUACCCGAGUUGUAUUUUACCCGGAACCAGUUGAAGCAGCGGCUGAAGCAUAAACAGAUCAGGUGCCAGAUCGAGAUAGAGCCGACAAGAAAGGUCCCAAACGCCAUGAAUUGAGAUUAAAUAAUGAAGAAAACGGAAGGGGUAGACUUGGUUCAUACUGUAGGGGGCUUGCUUGAGUGAGAGUAGCGAAUCCAUCUUAAGCAAAACUAUAUUCUUUUGGCAACUAAUUAACAAUUAGAACAUAUCACCAUCAUUGCAAUUACUUUUAGUUUUCAAUUUUCGAAAAAAUGAAAACUAAAAACCAAAAAAUAAAAAUUGAAUGCCAUAAUUUGAAAACUCAUAGUUUUCAGUUUUUAACUUGAUUUUAGUUUUGAUGUUAGGUUGUUGGACUUAACUUUCAGGCUAUUGUUCUAGGAUUGUGAUCCAAGAUCCUCGACUUUGCAUUUCCAAGGUCCGAGUUCAAAGAUCCACAGUCAUGGCUUGCGUUUCUUCGAUUUCUUGGGUUCAAGAUCCGAUAUACAAAAUUGAGUUCCUCGGAUCAGACGGAAAAGGAUCCUCGUCGGAUCAUUUUUCUAGGGAUUUGCAAUCGUGUUCGUUUAUCGUACAUCGUAUAGUUAGAAAUUAUUUAAAUUUUAAAAUUUAAAUUUCAAGUAUAAAUAAUACCUAAUAAAAACUGAUCACACAAUGUACGAUGAACGGACCCGAUUGUAGAAUCCCUAGGAAAAGGAUGGAUCCUUUUCCGGAUCAGACUAAUCAGAGUUAUAGGUCCACAUUCGAAAUCCCACAUUUCUAUUGCUUGUAAUCCUUCAUUCCUUUGUAUUCUCAUAUUUAGUUUUAUAUUCCAUAUGACACGUUUUGGGUUUGAUUUCUGAUGUUGAUAAAUCGCAUGAUGGUGGUUAGGAGGACGGUGAAAUACCUUUAUGAGGACCUGGCAUUUGUGUUGUAUUUCUCGUGUUCGUGUCGUUUUCGUGUCAUACCCGAUAGCUUAACAGGGUCGUGUUGUGUAAUACCCGUUAAAGUAAACGGGUAAUAUGACUCGACCCGAAAUCAACCAGUUAAUAUUAUCAUGUAAUAUGACCCGACCUGUUACCGUUAAGAAAAAUAUAUUUCAAAUCAAUAAAAAUGAAAAUGAAAAACAUAAUCUGACCCCAAAAAAUGUAAAACAUAAUACUAAAUUAGUAUAUACACACUAAAUUUCGGAGUUGACCUCUUCAUGAAAGUUGUAAAUCUUUUUAUUACGAGUGAUUACAUUUUUCACACUUCUACAAUAAUUUUUAUUAAUUUUGCACUCAAAUAAAAAACACUGUUCAUGAGAUUUGGAGGGUUUUAAAAAUCUAAACGACUAUGUAACCAUCAUCUAAGCGUUGAUGAUGCAAUUAUAAACGUUUAUUAUGCUUUCACAUCUUUCAGACUUGUACAUUAAUGAUUAUGAAUUUUGUUUAUUUUGAACUCCCUUAAAAAUACUAUUCAUGAGAGUUUGUUUGGUUCUAAAAAUUCAAACGAUCAUAUACCCAUCCUCAAAGUGUAGAGGAUGCGACUAUGAGCGUUUACAUAUUUUUUUCAUAUUUUUCGCACAUGUAAAUUAAUUAUUAUAAUUUUUUUAAUGUGUUUGGUAUUUUUAAAUUACUUGAUAUUUUUAUUUUUAAUGUGUUUUAUGAUUUUUAAUCUUAAUCUUUGCCUAUUAUAUACUAUAAAAAUAAAUAAAUAAAUAAAUAAAACUUAAAUUUUAAAAUUUAUAUAGAAUAAUAAUUAAUAAACAAUAUAUACAUAUUCAUUAUAUCUAUUGUAUUUUAUAGUAAGUUUUUUUUAGUAGUUGUUGAACAACAAAAAUAUACAAAAUAUAUAUAUAUAUCGAGUCCGUACAAAUUGGUUCAAAUUACAAGGCAAAACAAAAAUGUAGUCCAACCCAAAAAAAAAAAUGGGCUUUACAUACAAAUUAACAUCCAUAAAUAAAAAAAAAAAAUAUGAAUGUCUUCCAAGAAAAGGGGGAAGAAACUGUGCAAAACCUAUUUUUCUGAAAGGCAUGAAAAAAAAAACUGCAUAGUUAGUGGGAGAAGUUAAGGGGAAGUGACAGGAGGUCAUGGCCUCCAUCUUCCUCCACGUAACAAAUUCUAGAGCUUUCUUGAGAUGCCUAUAAAUAGGCAUCAGCUACAGCAAGAAGGGGAAAAAAAAGAGAGGAGAAACUCUGUAGAAAAUAAGAGCAACUUUGAACUUUGAGAGAAAAUAUCAAAAGGCAACAAACUGCUGCUAGAAAAGAGAAUAAGGAGUCCAGUCAUUCGUGCAUUCAAGUCAAGAUCCAAAAGAAGAACAUUCAUCACCAGGUAUGAAAUAAGUUCUGUUAAUUUAUUUUUAUUUCUCUGGUUCAAUGUUGUGUUGCAGAUGGAAGUAAAAAAAAAAGGGUGCAUAACCAACUACUCAGAACUUGUAACCUUCAGUUUAUACAAGAAAAUUGCCGGAAAAGGUUUUUAUGCAUGGAAGGUUUCUUAAAUGGUAGUCCGACUACUUUUCUAUACCUACAACAACAACACAAUGCAGUCCAAAAAAAAAAUGGCAGCAGCCACAUGUUUUCUCUCUGCCUAAAUUUGAAGUUUCUCUCUGCCUAAAUUUGAAGAGAACAAAAAAAACAACAUGUUGGUACCAUAUUAUAUUGGGCCUCGUUACUUGGGCUUCCAGACAUUGAGCCAAUGAUUUAUGUAAAAGGGGAGGAGCCCUUAGUCUAUUAAAGGGAAUCCUCACCCUCACAAUCCUUAGGCCUCACAUCCCCAAACAGAGGCUCUCAUAUUCAGAGCAACCCUCUCACAAACAGAGAAACUCUCUCUUUCUCUGGGGGACUCCCCCUCACACUUGUAAUCCAUACAUUCAUACAAAGAAAUACAAUCAACAUCAGUAUGGACGUGGCCCAAAUAUUAGGGUGAACCACGAUACAUCUUGUGUUCUUUACUUUCUUGUAGAUUUACGGUCGGAUUUACGUUGUUCCAAGACCCCUCCGAUUUUGUGCAUCAACAUUUGGCGUCGUCUGUGGGAAACAACACGAAAAGCUAUAUCGGUUUUCUUUCAUUUUUCCAUCUCACUACCGUGAAAACUUCACAACCUCCACCGUGAAUCUGCACAACCCAAGAACCAAAACAAGCUACUCAUGAUCAAGAUAUUUCAUCCUUAUCAAGCAGCUAAUCUCCUCCGUCAAUCCCACCAACUCCAAGCGAGUCAUGUCAAGAGCAUGGGUGACAUGACUCCAGGCGAAAUCAUUAUGAGUUGAGGCACAAAAACAUCAUUUUAACUCCAAGCGGCUCUCUCUCUCAUAAGAGCUUUUCAGCCUCUAAAUUUCCCCAAUAAAAUGUUUCUUCUUCUUCUGCCUUUUCUCUUUAACCGUCGCCAGAUUUUCGUUAUUCUCCUUCAAGCUCUACCCCAAACCUGGAGAUCCGACGCCGGAGACGGAACCAGAGCUGGAGUGGGCCCACCGAGUCGGAGAGCUGGCGCUGACAGUGUUACGAGGUCUUGGUGACGGAGUUAGCCAUGGGCAUUCCCUGCGACGACGUCGUCAUGAUCCAGCAGAGGAAGACUCCCUACGAGCCGUCCAUCUUCACCCUCAACUGCCCCGACAAGGUUGGCCUCAACUGCGACCUCUACAGAAUCAUCCUCCAGUUCUGUCCCUCUUUCUCUCAUAAAAUCUGGUCUUAGCCUUCACGUCCAUCCACGGUCAUCGUCCCCGAGCAGCUUUCGUCAAUUCUCGAGCAGCUAAGGAACGAAACUGUUCGGUUCGAGCUCGCCGCCUUCCCCGUCCUUUCAAUUUCAGCUCCAAAUUCUCCGGUGAACCUAACCACGUCUUUCGGGGACCAUGGCCACUGGUUAUUCGGAUCACACAAUUAUGUUUAGUUCAUUUAUGUACUCUGGCUCGUUAGCAAAGAAGGAAUUCAGUUCUACACUGGCAUCACUAGACUGAACAAGCACAACAAAUGCAAGAAGGCAAAUGCUGCUGUACAUCCUACAUAUUUUCGAAUAACGGAAGGCACGAGCAUAUCUGAUUCUUGUCAGCAGUGAGAACCGGAGUUCAGGAGCCCUGUGCCAGAGACAUGAGAUAACUGUUUACAGAACCACAACCGAUCAUCUUCCCACUGACGUGCAUCUUGAAGGGAUUUAUUUUCACAAGUGCGGAAAGAAUUUCUAAUGCAGCUAUAAAGACCUCGGGAUUUGAAUGACAAUUGAUACGUUGAUUCCAAAAAGAGGAGGCGGCAACAUCGCCGACUUAAGCUGCGACUCGAUGUCGUAGUAGAGAGCUUUAUCAGCGAGCUCCUGCUUGGAGAACAAGCGUGUCGCGGAAGGGAAGCCUUUCAAUCGGAGAAGAGAGAGGAUGACGAAAAAGAUCUCUGGGUCCCGGUCAAUGAAAAUUGGGUUCGGGUUAUCCGGUUCCAGCUUCAAUGGCGAUGGAGUACGAGUGUUGUACCAGUGGAUUCUUCAUUCACACAGUGGUCAUCGUGCUGCUAGUGCUGUUCGUGGGGCUAAUGUCCGGGCUCACCUUGGGCCUCAUAUCCAUGAGCCUUGUCGAUAUCGAAGUCCUCGCCAAGUCUAGGACGCCGAAGGAUCGCAAGCACGCAGAAAUAAUCCAACCCCUGCAGAUUCACAAAGGCACCAAAAGCAAUUGGCUGGUGACAGUAGUGCAACUUUAUGGCUUUCCUAUCAUGCUUCCCUACUAUUUCAUCCCAGCAAGCAGAAAUAAUCCAACCCCUGCAGUUUUGAAAGUUGUAGGAAAUGAAUGGGAAACAAAAGCAAAAACAGAAAGCAAAAGUAGGAAAAAAAGAAGGGAAGAAAAUAAAAAGAAGGAAAAAGCAGACAUAAUUGCAGUGGUGAAAUGACGUGAUUGUAGAGAAAGGAAUUAUGGAUAUAACCCAUUGAGCAGGUUUUGCCCCCCGCAACUGCCAGCUGCACAUGCUAUCCCACUAUCCAACCAUCUUCCAUACCCUCCUUCUAGCGUAAAAAAAAAAAAAGGGCAAAAUAGUUGGCUGGAAUGUUAUGUGGAAUGCGAAGGCCCAUAUGCCCAAAAGAGUCAGGCCCUAUGGCUUCAAACUCCAACCUCCAUCCCUCCAUUUAAGGUUUACCCUCUAUUAUCACCAACCAGGUGAUCAAAAGUAUGUCCAGUACUCUAAAAUUAUUUGGCAGUCUGCUGCUAUUAUCACCAACCAGGUGGUCAAAAGUACGUCCAAUACUCUAAAAUUAUUCGGCAGCCUCCCACUAUUAUCACCAACCAGGUGAUCAAAAGUACAUCCAAUACUCCAAAAUUAUUCGGCAGCCUACCACUAUUAUCACCAACUAGGUGAUCCAAAGUACGUCCAGUACUCUAAAAUUAUUCAGCAGCCUGCCGUUAUUAUCACCAACCAGGUGAUCAAAAGUAUAACCCGUUCUCCAAAAAAUCAUACAUGAGCAUCACUCAUGACAAUCACCAUCAUACAUGAGCAUCACUCAUGUCAAUCAUACAUAAACAUUCAUGAGCAUCACUUAUGUUAACAUUCAUGAGCAUCACUUAUGUUAACAUUCAUGAGCAUCACUCAUGUCAACAUCCAUGAGCAUCACUCAUGUCAAUCAACAUAAACAUUCAUGAGCAUCACUCAUGUCAAUCAGCUUCGAAAGCUUCAUUUUCAAAAGCUUCAGCUUUGAAAGCUUCAUUUACAAAGCUCCGACUUCAAAGCUUCAUUUAUAAAAGCUCCAGCUUCAAAGCUUCACUUUCAAAGCCUCACCUAUAAAACUUCACUUUCAAAGCCUCACCUAUAAAACUUCACUUUCAAAGCUUCAGUGCAUGGUAUACAAAGACCGCAUUUGAACAACCGCUAUUUUGGCCCAUACAUGGAUUGAAUUUGAAAGUCUUCAGCUAACAAACUCUAUUGACUGAAGACUUGGGGGACUACACUAUGUACCAUAUAUUGGAUUUCCGCAAUUGUGCCUCAUGAAAAAUACUCGGGGGGACUUAGCCCAUUAUUUAUGUAUUGAGGGGUGAACCCUUAUUCUAUAAAAAGGGACUCCCUCACUUUCAUUAGAGAGCACCCAUUAUUCAUGUACUGAGGAGCGAACCCUUAUUCUAUAAAAAGGACUCCCCCACUUUCAUUAGAGAGCACCCAUUAUUCAUGUAUUGAGGAGCGAACCCUUAUUCUAUAAAAUGGACUCCCUCACCUUCAUUAGAGAGAGACUUUUAGCCCAUCACUUAUGUAUUGAGGAGUGAACCCUUAUUCUAUAAAAGGGUCUCUCUCACCUUCAUUAGAGAGCAUCACCGCCAGCUAAGCAACCGCCUCGCCCCGAGCAUCAGUCAUAAACAAUCACUUAUGUAUUGAGGAGCGAACCCUUAUUCUAUAAAAGGGACCCCCUCACCAUCAUUAAAGAGCAUCAUCGCCUGCUGAGCAAACGCCUCGCCGCAAACAUCAACUCUAGCCCAUCAUUUAUGUAUUGAGGAGCGAGCACUUAUUCUAUAAAAUGGACUCUCUCACGUUCAACGCCACAAGCCGAGCCAACCAAGGCAACAUAAGCCAUAAGCUAAGCAGCCUCGCAACAUUUGCUACUUCUAGUUGAGCAUCAUUUCACAUUGAGCACCGCCUUAUAUCGAGUAUCAGUUCUAGACAACAUCUAGUUACUUCGGCCCACACAUGGACUGAAUUUUAAGUCUCCGGCCAAAAGACUCUCUUGACUGAAGACUUGGGGGACUACUGUUGGUACCAUAUUAUAUUUGGCCUCGUUACUUGGGCUUCCAAACAUUGAGCCCAUAAUUUAUGUAAAAGGGGAUGAGCCCUUAGUCUAUAAAAGGGACUCCUCAUCCUCACAAUCCUCAGGCCUCACAUCCCCAAAUAGAGGCUCUCAUAUUCAGAGCAACCCUUUCACAAACAGAGAAACUCUUUCAAACUCUCUCUUUCUCUAGGGGACUCCCCCUCACACUUGUAAUCCAUACAUUCAUACAGAGAAAUACAAUCAACAUCAGUGUGGACAUAGCCCAAACAUUGGGGUGAACCACGAUACAUCUUGUGUUCUUUACUUUCUUGCAGAUUCACAGUCGGAUUUACGUUGUUCCAAGACCCCUCCGAUUUUGUGCAUCAACAAAACACACAAGAGUUCCACUCCUUACCAGUAACGUCAUUCCCAUGAAUUUCUUCGGGUGGCCUAGACCAUCCCGUGAAAUUCCCAUCAAGACAAGAAAGAGGGGAGCCAUUGGUGUCACAGCAAACAAUGGAUUUGAUAUAGAAAGAGCAAGUUUCGACUCCAAACAUCGACCUAAAAGCAUUCAAGAGGAAAAGUACGAAAACAUACUCCAAGAGAGUGACUAAAGGAAGAAAAGUUUCUAUAAAAGCUAAAGAAGGUGGAUAUCAUAUUUGGAAACGCUAGAGGGAGUAAGGUCACGUGAUUGACAAAUAAAGACAUCUUUCUGUAAAAGCUAAAGAGGUGACCGACUCAUGCUUGGGAAGUUCCCUAAUUCAACACCUGAUAAAGACAAAUGAACAAUGUGGAUGCCAUUUUUGUCAAAUAUUGACCAAAAGCAUUGAAAUGAAACUGUCAAUAUGCUACAAGACAAAAGGGAAAGAAAGAAAAUUUUCCAAUCUCUAAAGAAAUAGCUAAAAGGUAUUUGGUUCCUUGCCACGUGAAGGUGGAACAAAGAGUUUCAUCAUGUCAAAACUUCUCACUUGCUCUCUGCCAUGUGAAGAUGGAACAAAGAGUUUUCAUCGUGUCAAAUUUCUCACUUGCUCUCUGCCAUGUAAAAAUGGGACCAUGUGAAAAUGGGACAAAAAAAAAUUGCUACCAAGUCAUUUAGGAAACCAACCCACCAAGCGGAACAACCCGUAGCAAAUGAAAAAUUGGAUGACAUAACAUUGGGUAGAUUCUUAUCUGAGAGCAGCUACAAUUCAUAUGACAAUAAAGCAGGACAAAAAAAAAAGGUGAUAUAAUUCGAGUUCAAAUAUACUUUCUCACUACAGGACUGGCAAACAUUUGAGGGCAUGAUUGGCUAUUCUUCAAAAAGAUUUGAAAGUUAAUGAAAACUUUAGCAAGUUCACGGGCAUUCACAUAGGCAAACAUCACUUUGUACAAUGGAGAAAAUAUGGCAGGUAUCAAAGGCAGCACACAGGAAGAAGCAAAAAGAAAUAAGGGCAUACCACAGACUUUAGAGUGCAUUCCUCACCUUUGGAGCCAUAAAUUAACACUUGUCCAAACAACCGAAUGGAAGAGAGGUCUGUUGCCAGGGACAGCCUGCAUGAAAUAAUUAAACCAAUCAGUUGCAGUUCAGAACUUCAACCCACUCCAAAAUCAAACCCAGAAAAUAGAAAACGAAAAGGGGAGAACUUGCUCGAUCUCUUCUCCUCUUCGUCUUGAUUUUCUUUCGACCUACAAAAAAAGCACACGAGCAAAAAGAAUAAAGGCAGCAGAAGAAAAAGAAAUCAUGACCUCAUAAUAAAAAAGAGAAGAGUCCUUACGGUUUAGGGAGGAAAAAAGGGUAAAUUGGAACAAAUCAAGGAGUUUGAACUCUACCAAUCUCACCCAUCUUCGUUUGGAAAUCAACGGUUGACAAACCUGAAAAGAAUUCCAAAACAUUACGAAAUCAUUUGAAGCCCAAGUAUUACGGUUGCUGCUGGAUGAAAACCACAUGGUUAGAGUCAAGAAAAGGAAGACUUCUGAAGCAAUUACACAAGAGAAGGGAUGGAUAAAGUCGCACCACAUGAGGGGGCUUGCUCACGUGGAAAAGAAGGAAAGUUGUUGGGCUUGGAAGCUGUAAAAUCACAUAAAAAAUUAGAUAGUAAAACUUAUUGUUAGAUUGGAAAAAUACAAAUGGGUUUUUAAAAAUCCCCAUGAUAAAGAGUUGAAAGUUCAACAACAAACAACAACAAAGCCUUUUCCCACUAAGUGGGGUCGGCUAUAUGAAUCCUAGAACGCCAUUGCGCUCGGUUUUGUGUCAUGUCCUCCGUUAGAUCCAAGUACUCUAAGUCUUUUCUUAGAGUCUCUUCCAAAGUUGUCCUAGGUCUUCCUCUACCCCUUCGGCCCUGAACCUCUGUCCCGUAGUCACAUCUUCGAAUCGGAGCGUUAGUCGGCCUUCUUUGCACAUUUUCAAAAUCACCGGAGCCGAUUUUCUCUCAUAUUUCCUACAAUUUCGGCUACUCCUACUUUACCUCGGAUAUCCUCAUUCCCAAUCUUAUCCUUUCUCGUGUGCCCACACAUCCCACGAAGCAUCCUCAUCUCCGCUACACCCAUUUUGUGUACGUGUUGAUGCUUCACCACCCAACAUUCUGUGCCAUACAACAUCACUAGCCUUAUUGCCGUCCUAUAAAAUUUUCCCUUGAGCUUCAGUGGCCUACGACGGUCACACAACACGCCGGAUGCACUAUUUCCAUCCAGCUCGUAUUCUAUGGUUGAGAUCUCCAUCUAAUUCUCCGUUCUCUUGCAAGAUAGAUCCUAGGUAGCGAAAACGAUCGCUUUUUGUGAUCUUCGCUAGAUUGCUCCGGUCAUUAGUGUGGAUAAGUAUAUAAAUGGAUAGAGAUAGGAAAGCAAACACAAAGAUGUACGUGGUUCACCCAGAUUGGCUACGUCCACGGAAUAGAAGAGUUCUCAUUAAUUGUGAAGGGUUUACACAAGUACAUAGGUUCAAGCUCUCAUUUAGUGAGUACAAGUGAAUGAUUUAGUACAAAUGACAUUAGGAAAUAUUGUGGGAGAAUGAUCUCGUAAUCACGAAACUUCUAAGUAUCGGAGUGUGGUGUCGUCUUGACUUGCCUUAUCUGUCUCAUAGGUAGAUGUGGCAUCUUCUCUGGAAGUACUCUUCCUCCAUCCAGGGGUGGUAUCUUUAACUGGUGGAGAUGCACAAGGUAAUGUAUCAAUUUCACUUGAAGCUUACUUGUAGUUUCAGGCUUGGUCAAGCGCGAUACAAACCAUGUAGUAGGAGUCCCCCAAGUCGCCGAGCUAGGGGGUCUGCUGAAAGAGGUGACAGACAAGGUAAGCAAUCAGAGCUCCGACUGAUUGUUCACCUUCUCCCCAUCUUGCAGCAGCAUGAAGGAUAAAGAGAAGAAAAAUGAGAAGAGAUGAUAUGAGAUACUUUUGCUUUUGAAGAAGUAACUUUCCACAGGCUUAUUCUUGAACUGAGCUGGAGGGUUUUCUGGUUUCCUCCAGAGUAUAAGGCCGACUGAAGAAUUUGAGGGUCAAAACAAGUCCAUCAAAUCUAGAGUACGUUCCACCCUGCUGAUAUGGGAUACUUUUGCUUUUGACAGAGUAAUGAAUGUAUCGGCACGUGUGCUGUUACGCUUGUCUCCACAUGCUUCCUUGUAUCCUUCGCACUUGCCCUAUCUGUUCCUCAAGCAGAUGCAGAAUCUUCCCUGGAAACAUAAGAUGUUGAAGAUGAGUACUCGAGAGCAAUGCCAGGUAAGUAAUCAGGUAAGGGGUUCCAGGCAGUCAGUUCCUGGCUGGAAGCUUGAUUCCAAGUGCUGACUGAUUGCUCUCUUUCUCCUUGUCUUGCAGGUAAAAACAAGGCCAAAAGAAAAGACAGGGAAAAAACAUGAUAUGGGAUACUCUUGCUUUUAACCCUGAUGAUAUGAGAUAUUCUUGCUCUAGUAUAGCUUGUUUGCAGAGGUAUUAUCGGGGGGAAAGAAAGCUGAAUAUUUUCGAAAGGCUUCGUUGGGAGUGCCCUCUCAGAUAUGAUGAAGGGUUGAGCAUUUUUGCAGGUCUGCCUGUCCGUUGGGGAUGGAGGUCGACAUAUAUAGGAGUCUCCCUAACAACAAGUAGUAAUGCUAUUCCUUUACCCUGCUUGGUCAUAGCACGGUAGUGGGAGCUGCCAGUUUCACAUGUUUUAACUCUGUCAGAGCACUUUGAAAAAGUGGUAUGUGGUAUCUGGCUCUCGAGAUUCGGAGAACGAUGCCUCUUCGAUUUUUGAGAAAGCAAUCAUGCUGGGGGUAUGACUCUCGAGAUUCGGAGAGCAGUCUCUUCGAUUUUUGAGGAAGUAAUCAUGUUGGGAGUCUGGCUCUCGAGAUUCGGAGGGCGGUGCCUCUUCGAUUUUGGAGCAAGCAAUCUUGUUGGGAGUGUUUGUCUCGAAUGUGAGUAAAGGUUGGGCAUGUUUGCUAGUCUACCUUGCCACGAAGCACAAAGGUUGACACACAGGGACUUUCCAAUUAUCCAGCAAUGGUACUGUUCCUUUACCCUCUCUUCGAUUUUGAGAAAGUAGUCAUGUUGGGAGUCUGACUCUCGAGAUUCGGAGGACGGUGCCUCUUCGAUUUUGGAGCAAGCAAUCUUAUUGGGAGUGUUUUCUCGAAUGUGAGUAAAGGUUGGGCAUGUUUGCUAGUCUACCUUGCCACGAAGCACAGAGGUUGACACACAGGGACUUUCCAAUUAUCCAGCAGUGGUACUGUUCCUUUACAGUUGUGGGUAAUAAUAUGGUAGCUAGACCUUCAAAAUUUAUGUGUUUAAACUUUUGUUAGUGCUGUUUCUUUGCUAUUCUUUUACCUUUCUUGGUCAGAGCGAUGUAGUGGGAGCUGCAAGCUUCACGUGCUCAACUUUGGCAGAGAACUUUGGCAAAGUUAUUUGUGGUACCCAUGAGCUAUUGUUUGCGUGUGGGAAGUGGGUGAUUGAACAGUAAGAUUCAUGUGCUUUCUACUUCACCAGAAGUCUUCGACAGAAUGCCCAUAAUUUCUGCAAAGCUGAGUGUGCGUGUGACAGGUGCUGACAAGGCUAGAAAAGUAGGUGCCUCUUCGAUUUCUGAGAUCGGCCCUCGUGGUCUCUGAGCAGCCCAGCUUUUGAGAAAGCGAGCGCCUCUUCGAUUGAUUCGGAGAACGAUGCCUCAUCGAUUUUUGAGAAAGCAAUCAUGCUGGGGGUCUGGCUCUCGAGAUUCGGGGAGCAGUGUCUCUUUCGAUUUUUGAGAAAGUAAUCAUGUUGGGAGUCUGGCUCUCGAGAUUCGGAGGGCGGUGCCUCUUCGAUUUUGGAGCAAGCAAUCUUGUUAGGAGUGUUUUUCUCGAAUGUGAGUAAAGGUUGGGCAUGUUUGCUAGUCUACCUUGCCACGAAGCACAGAGGUUGACACACAGGGACUUUCCAAUUAUCCAGCAAUGGUACUGUUCCUUUACCCUCUCUUCGAUUUUUAAGAAAGUAGUCAUGUUGGGAGUCUGGCUCUCGAGAUUCGGAGGACGGUGCCUCUUCGAUUUUGGAGCAAGCAAUCUUGUUGGGAGUGUUGUCUCGAAUGUGAGUAAAGGUUGGGCAUGUUUGCUAGUCUACCUUGCCACGAAGCACAGAGGUUGACACACAGGGACUUUCCAAUUAUCCAGCAAUGGUACUGUUCCUUUACCCUCUCUUCGAUUUUUAAGAAAGUAGUCAUGUUGGGAGUCUGGCUCUCGAGAUUCGGAGGACGGUGCCUCUUCGAUUUUGGAGCAAGCAAUCUUAUUGGGAGUGUUUUCUCGAAUGUGAGUAAAGGUUGGGCAUGUUUGCUAGUCUACCUUGCCACGAAGCACAGAGGUUGACACAUAGGGACUUUCCAAUUAUCCAGCAGUGGUACUGUUCCUUUACCCUUGUGGGUAAUAAUAUGGUAGCUAGACCUUCAAAAUUUAUGGGUCUAAACUUUGUUAGUGCUGUUUCUUUGCUAUUCUUUUACCCUUCUUGGUCAGAGCGAUGUAGUGGGAGCUGCAAGCUUCACGUGCUCAACUUUGGCAGAGAACUUUGGCAAAGUUAUCUGUGGUACCCAUGAGCUAUUGUUGCGUGUGGGAAGUGGGUGAUUGAACAGUAAGAUUCAUGUGUUUUUCUACUUUCCCAGAAGUCUUUGACAGAAUGCCCAUAAUUUCCGCAAAACUGAGUGUGCGUGUGACAGGUGCUGACAAGGCUGGAAAAGGCUGGAAAAGUAGGUGCCUCUUCGAUUUCUGAGAUCGACCCUCGUGGUCUCUGGGGAGCCCAGCUUUUGAGAAAGCGAGCGCCUCUUCGAUUUUUGAGAUCGGCCUUCGUGGUCUUUGAGCAGCCCAACUUUUGAGAAAGCAAACGCCUCUUCGAUUUCUGAGAUCAACCCUCGUGAUCUCUAAGCAGCCCAGCUUUUGAGAAAGCAAACGCCUCUUCGAUUUCUGAGCAGGCGCCUCUUCGAUUUCUGAAGCUUCGUCGAGUGCAGAUUUUUAUAGGGGCUGGCAUUAAGUUCCAAAGCACACUUGAAUCUCCACCAGUAGAAGCUUCAUUCUUGCACUUCUAAGAUCUUGAUUUGUCCGACCUCUUCUCUCUUCAACACCUUUGAAAAUGUCUGGCCCCUCCGACCGUCGUUUUGACUUGAACCUUGUUGAAGAGGCAGCCCCGCCUUCUCCAGACAACAUAUGGCGCCCAUCCUUCGUCUCCCCUACUGGUCCUCUUACCGUUGGGGAUUCCGUGAUGAAGAAUGAUAUGACCGCUGCGGUGGUGGCCAGGAACCUUCUCACUCCCAAAGAUAACAGACUACUUUCCAAACGGUCUGAUGAGUUAGCUGUUAAGGAUUCGCUGGCUCUCAGUGUUCAGUGUGCAGGUUCUGUGUCUAAUAUGGCCCAACGCCUAUUUGCUCGAACCCGCCAAGUUGAAUCAUUGGCGGCUGAAGUGAUGAGUCUCAAACAGGAGAUUAGAGGGCUCAAGCAUGAGAAUAAACAGUUGCACCGGCUCGCACAUGACUAUGCUACAAACAUGAAGAGGAAGCUUGACCAGAUGAAGGAAACUGAUGGUCAGGUUUUACUUGAUCAUCAGAGAUUUGUGGGUUUGUUCCAAAGGCAUUUAUUGCCUUCGUCUUCUGGGGCUGUACCGCGUAAUGAAGCUCCAAAUGAUCAACCUCUGAUGCCUCCUCCUUCUAGGGUUCUGUCCAGUACUGAGGCUCCAAAUGAUCCCCCUCCGGUGCCUUCUCUUUCUGGGGCUCUACCGACUGCUGAGACUUCUCCUAAGCAACCUUUGUGAAGGCUCCCUCUUGUGUGCUUAUUUUGACUCAUGUAUAUGUACAUAUUUGUAGCUUAUCGGGGAUAUCAAUAAAUAAGCUUUCCUUCAUUUCGACGUAUUGUGUUAAAUACACCAAAGCCUUCUUCGCUAAGUUCUUUGAAUUUUCUUUUGUUAAAGCUUGUAUGUUGAAGCUUUCUGAGUGGAGCAUGUAGGUUGGGGUAGUGUUCCCUUAAUUUCCCGAGUGAGGAAAACUUCUCGGUUGGAGACUUGGAAAAUCCAAGUCACUGAGUAGGAUCGGCUAUAUGAAUCUUAGAACGCCAUUGUGCUCGAUCCUGUGUCAUGUCCUUCGUUAGAUCUAAGUACUCUAAGUCUUUUCUUAGAGUCUCUUCCAAAGUUUUCCUAGGUCUUCCUCUACCCCUUCGGCCCUGAACCUCUGUCCCAUAGUCGCAUCUUCUAAUCGGAACGUCAGUAGGCCUUCUUUGCACAUGUCCAAACCACCGUAACCGAUUUUCUCUCAUCUUUCCUUCAAUUUCGGCUACUCCUACUUUACCCCGGAUAUCCUCAUUCCUAAUCUUAUCCUUUCUCGUGUGCCUUGUGGAAAUCCCACUUUGUCUUCAAGUCUCAAGAAAAAGUUUGAACGGUGCAUCUCACGAGGGGCUGGGAGUCCCACUUUAUGUCUUCAAAACUACUUAAGGAAAAGACAAAAUAAAACCCUUAUUUCACAAAGCCUAUUAGGCAAAUACGAAGGUCAUAUGUGGGUUUUUAAUAAAUCCAAUUGUCUUUUCAUUUAGCCAAAGUCUGAACACAAAUCCAAAUCAAAUAUCAACAAACCAUAUGAACUACGCCGGUUUGAUUCCAUUAAGGAUACGUAGGCAGUCUGAUAUCAAAUUAUAGACGCAACCGUGAAAUCAAGACGAAUCCCUGAUUUAUAUAAACUAAAUUCAUUUCUGUUACUUUGACCAAGUAAUUACAAAUUCUAUGAAGAGUAAAAGAGAAGCGAGCCGGUUCAAAUUAUGAGCCGCUUCAAAUGGUACAAAGCCGUUUCACAUUACAAAUGGCACGAAGCCACAUCAAAUUUCAAAUGGCAUGAAGCCGCAUCAAAUCCCAAAAGGCAUAAAGCUGAAGAAAAAUCUCAAAUGGCAUAAAGCUGAAUCAAAAGCUCCAAUGGCUUAAAGUCCUUAACUGCAAGAGCCUAAACUGCACAAGGCACAAACACUUCAAUGGCGCAAAGUCCUUACCCGCAUGAGCGAAAAUUGUACAAGGCAUCAAAUCCAAAAAAGUAUCAAGUAUACAAAGAACUACGAGUAACUUGAUCCCUCAACGAGGGUACGUAGGCAAUCUAGGGCUCUACCUAGACGUAGUUACACAAUCAAAUAAACACCCAAAUCCCCAAGUUACGAUUUAUUCAUAUUAGAAUCAAAAGGUAUUCCUUUCCCAAAAGAAAGGUUGUAAUUAAUAGGCGCGUAGUCUAGAAUGGGUCGAACUCGAAUUAAUAAAACCCUCUUCGAAAAAAUGAAUGAGGGUGAAAUUGUGUCGAAAGAAUUAUGUGUUUACAUAUUAUGUACAAUUUUUGCUCAAUAGUAGUUUACAAAAUUAAAAUUAUCAAAAUAAAUUUUUUCUUAUCAUGUCGAAACAGGUUACCAGCGUGUCGCUCUCGUGUAAACUUGUUAAAGACCCGUUAUUAAAGGGUUAUUAUCGUGUGACCCGAUAAUGACCCGAAUAGUUAUCGUGUGACCCAAAACUUGUUAUUUUUGUGUCGUUUACGUGUUGUGUAAGAAAUUGCCAGUCUAAUCUUCCCUGUCCUUGAAAGGGUGGACUAUUGUGGCGAAGCCACCAACUAGUCCCCUUUUCAAAAAAAAAAAACUAUAAUGUUGGAAUUGUGAACCAUUUGCCUUUUUGAACAAAUGAUUUAGGGUUUAAUUGGCGCACUUCAAAUAUCAAAAUGUUUGUACAUUUCAGGUAAAAAGAUUAAAACUCAUUUUCCUUUUUGAACAAAUGAUUUAUUUUUAAUUUUUAAUUUUAUUUGAGGGGAUGGAGUUGAAAUCCGAUUAACAAAUGGUCUUUCUAGGGUUAACUUAAUCGUCUUCUUCAAUGAAAAUUUAUAUAAAGUUGAAAUUCGAAGGGGAUGGCUGAAUCUCAAAUACAUUGGGCUUUGUCUAAGAUUGGGUGGUCAUGUGGGCCUUGUCUUGCAUUCCAUUUCAGCCCAUUAUUAUAUUUAUUUUUUUGUUAGAAAACCCAUCUAGUUUUAAUGACAAAUAGGUUUUAAAUUACAUUAUUUUUUCUCUGUCUUGAUAAAAGGGUAGCUUCUAGAAGCAAUAGCGUAGGUAGGUCAGUUUAAAAACGUUAUCCGUAACGUAAGCAUCGCGAACACGUGACAAGUCGCCCCUCGUCACAUUAGUUAAAUCCAAAACGAGAUUAUUAAAAUAAAAAUUAUAAAUUAUAAAAAAAUAAUCAUAUUUAUCCAAAAAAAACCCAGAAAAAAGUUAACCAUUUUGAUAGGGACAGGAAAUUAAUGAGAGAACUUUAAUGAAAAACUUUCAGUACUGUUUACUUUAACGAAAAAAUCAUAUUUUUACACUAAAAAGUCAAUCAUAGUACUAUUCACUUUAUCUUUGAUUUUAUCAUUAUUAUUAAAACUUAAAAUUUUCAAAUUAUUUUUAUUAAUUUUCCUAAUUAAUAAAGCAUCACUUAUCUAACUUUGGGAAAAAUUUAUACGAAACGCUUACAUAACGAUACAUUGUUGAAUCAAAACGCUAUUUAACGGUAAUUUCCUUUUUUGUUGUGGCUGGAUUUUCUGACAGUUUCCUUUUUCUAGUUAAAAUUUUCAUGUCGGUUUUAAUACCGAAAAGAGAAAAAUAAAUAAAAAAUUAGAAAAAAAGGAAAGCGGAGGGACAAAGGAGGUGCAACCGGUUUUUCUCAGAGCUUCUAAAGUCUUAAAGACACACGUCCGUAGUCCGCACAAUACACGAACAAACAUUACAACUUCAAGCGUUUUAGAGAGAGAAAGUGUGUAUUUAGAGAGAGAAAGGGAGGGAGAGGAUAGGGGUUGAGUAUUUGGGCGAAUUCUGGGUUUAGGGUAGAGCAGCGGCAGACAUGGAGAGCAAAGUGGAUGAGGUUUCUGUUGAGCUCUCAGCUCCUCCUGCUUGGAAGAAGAAGGUCUCUCUCUCUCUCUCUCUCUCUCUCUCUCUCUCUCUCCUGUUUACUCACUCAAAUUUUAUAUGUAGCUCUAUUUGAAUGCUGUAUAAUUUUGUUGUAGCUCUUUUUUGCUUCGAAUCUUAGGGUUCUGCCUCUGGUUCUGCUUGAGCUGCUUCAAUUUUUAGCUUUAGUCAGAACUUUGUUUUUGAAUUGCUUGGUUUUCAAAGUUAGGGUUUUCACUUUAGCAUUUGAAUUUUUAAUUCAUGGAAGUAAAAUUUGUGUGCCCAAAUAAGUGCAGUAACUUCAAUUGUUAAGAUUUCCUUUGAAGUGCUCUGCUUUCAACUUGGUCUGUGCUGAUUGUUGUUUUAUAAUUUUGCUCUUGUUAGUGUAAAUUAGUAGCUAAUUUUGGUGAUUACCCAACAAUUAUAUGUUCAAAUAUAGGAAUUAGGAAUAUAUAAUUUUCUUCUGUAAGAUCAUAUUUUUGUUGGCGGUUUGUGGGAAUCUCUGUUAAUUUGUUGGAAAACUUACUCUUGUAGAAGUAAAAAUCGAGCGAUUUCCAGAUAAAGGAAGUGUAACUCUGUAAGUUCACUAAUCUAAAAAGCUAGGAGAAAUUAUUAAUAGCUGAAUGUUAUUAGCUGCUAAUAGAUCCUGGCGGUUUCCUUCACCGUUGCAAAUUGCAAGUGUGAUAGACUUGCUAGAGGUGGUUCUGAACUUAAGAGUUGUUAGUUUUUCGUAUGAUGAAGGAACCCCUAUGACCCAUUCCCUUGUCGGGUACAAGGUUUGAGGGAAAUUAUCCAAAAACCACGUAUCCUUCAAGCUAUAAAUUUUUCUUCAAAUUUAGGACCCUCCUGAUAUUACUGAACUCAAGAAUUUUCUUCAACAUUUGCACCCUGGAUUCCAUUUAUAUUGAUAGGUGCUGUGAAUGUUUCCAAAAGAAAGUUUAAACUAUUUCCCGCCCCGACGGGUUUCUUUUUGUUAUUUUUAGGUAGUUUUGAUUCCACUAGGUCAUAACUGAUUUUUCAAUCUGUUAACUGUUGUCCGUUAAUGAAUAAACUAGUGAGGUAAUCUACCGUUAAUGAAUAAACUAGUGAGGUAAUCUAAUCACAUCAAAUCUUGUUUAGUUACUUUCGACAAAAAGAAAAAAUCUUGUUCAGUUACAGUUGGCUCACUUAAGUCAUGAAUGGCGUUUCCACAUGUCUCUGUUUUUUUCUUAGUCAUUCUUGUCUUUGAAUCAUGUACAAUGAUCAAGUAUGGAAAUAAUUUGUAGCCCCCCUUUGUAGAAACCGUUCUAACCCUACAAACCUAAUGUUGCACUAUCACACAGGUUAUUUUACAAAUUUUAGGCUUGGGGCAAUUCCAAUUUUUGUACACAUCUCUAUACUCUGGGUUGUUUAACUGCAAGGUCAGAUAGAACCUUAACCUGGUCAGACAUGCUUUGAUGAGGAAUCCCAUUUUAUUAGUGCACUAAUUUAGUUUUUCAGUUGUAUGCUACACUAACUUCAAAAGCGGUUUUGAUUAGGACUUCCAUCUGGUAGCCCUAGCUAGCAGCUUUAGCUUAACCUAAUAUCUGCUUUAUGUUACAAUUGCUUCUGUUAAAUUUGUAUUAGUAUUAGUAGAAAUUUGAUGUGGGCCCUUUAGGUUGUGGACCUGAAGUUUGUAGACAUUUGAUGUGGGCCCUUUAGGUUGUGGACCUGAAGUUUGUAGACAUUUGAUGUGUGCCCUUUAGGUUGUGGACCUGAAGUUUGUAGACAUUUGAUGUGUGCCCUUUAGGUUGUGGACCUGAAGUUUGUCUACCAGUGUUCAGUGAACCACCAAUACUGGAUGAUUUGGGUCCUAUAAAAAUAGGUUGUGUACCCUUUGCGUAUAUCAGAACUUGAUUUAUAUUUUGUAAUCAACUUCAUAUAGGAUGUUUUAAAGGCAAUAUUCUGUAAGCAUGGGAAAAUCACAGUAUAUCUAAUUUAUGACACUGUUUUGUUUUGAACUAGCUGUGUGUUCCACUUUCUGCUGCAACCAUCGGCUAUUACAAGCUUGCUAAAGAUAAUAAACAUUGAUUUUGGCUGAGCCUUUUCCUUCUGCCUUUCAUUUGUUUGUUUAAAAGUAAGCACAUGGAAUUCAAAAUUUCUUCCUUCAAACUGCAUUCCAAGCAUGCUAUUUUAUUUCUAAUAUUGAUAACUUAUGCUGCUGCAUGACCAAAUUUUCUCUUGAUUUACUUUCGGUAAAAAAUAUUUUGUUGUCAGAAAGUAAUCAAUUUUUCAAAUGUUUAGCAGUUGGUAGUAAAGGGCUCUCAGUUGUGAUUCCUAGUCUACUCUUCCUCUUCCUAAGGACAAGGAAUGGGUAAUAUUGACAUGGGGCAGAAUGUGUCUAGGUGCGGAAAUUCUGGUUUUUUUUUCUUUGGGUGACCGACCAUAUAUUUCAUUAAAUUUGAGAUCUAUAACAGACAAACCGCUGCUACAUUCUAACCAUCUGGCAAAGAGUAUUUUCUGGUUGGAAAUAUGACAGUGCUUAUACCCAACACUGACCAUUUAAAAUAGGAAUUUCAUCUUGAACACCACUUAAUUAUUUACGAUGUUGGAGAAUGUGUUCAGUUGAAUUUUUUUUUCCUUUUGGGUUAGAAAACGGGCACAAAGCGCAAACAACCACAACACAAAAAAGAAAAACUCAACCCCUAGAGCUAGAUCAUACAGCUCUUGGCUCCAACUAAAUCAUCCAAAACAGCAGCAGAAACUUCAGGACGAGAAUCCUUAAAGAAAGAACAACCCAGUGUGGUAACCUGAAUUUGAAAUGAAUACUGUUCUAAUGUGCUGAUAUUUCCUGUUCUUUUCUUUCCUUUAUAUGUUUUCAAUAUGUACUUUACACUUGCACAUAGAUGCACAUGUUUGAUACAAUAAGAAGAGGUGAAAAGUAUAGCCAGUUAUUUUAGUGCUAGAUAAAGUGUGUGUGUCUAUAUAUAUAGACAAAAAAUGAAUGGUUUUCAGUUUACUGACAUUUUUAUCCUAUAAACUGCACGCUUUAUCAUCAUUGUUCUAGUUCUAUUGAUCUCAGAAGUUCCCCCAUACCUUUAUCCAUAUCAUUCUUGAAAGUAUAAAAAAUACAUGUGCAAACUAAUCCAAACCUAAAAUGGCUAUGAAGUCUUAAAACAUAGAGAAGAAAGAUUUAGAUAACCUUUGAAAUUAUUGAAGUUUAUCCCGGUAAACCUACUCAAAACAGCUUGUGAAAGUUGAAUGAUAUUCUGGUGACAAUAACGAUGUUCUGUUUCACAUAAUCACUUAGAUUGCAUUCCGCAGAACUAUUUGCCUAAAGGAUGUGGGCUUCUCUGAAUCCUUUAAUAUGGUACAUGCAAAUAUUGUUGGUAAUAUCAAGGACGGUCAAUUGAAUUGAGUCCAUGUGGUUAUUUUACAUAAUUCUUGGAUAUGGUCUUUGACAAUUUACUUUCUUUGUUCUGCAGUUUUUGCCCAAGAAGGGAGGCACACCAAGGAAAAAUGAAAUCAUAUUCAUUUCUCCGACAGGAGAGGAGUUUAAUAGUAAAAAACAAUUGGAGAAAUACCUAAAAGCACAUCCUGGUAACCCCGCAAUAUCAGAGUUUGAUUGGAGCACUGGUGAAACCCCUAGGAGAUCAGCUAGGAUCAGUGAAAAGGUCAAGGUGGCUCCAUCACCAGAGAGCGAGCCUCCAAAAAAGAGAGGCCGAAAAUCAUCAGGUUCAAAGGACAAAGUGGAAGCUUCUGGUGGAGAAGCUGAUGCUACAAAUGAAAUUCAAAUGAAAGAUGCAGAGGUAGAUGAGAAGAAAGAUGCAGAAUGUGAGAAACAGAAGGAUGCAGAAGCCGAGAAAGGGAAAGAUGCUUUGAAGGAAAAUCAGGUUGGCAAUGGAGGAAAAACUGAGGAAGAAACUGACCAGACUAAGCCAGAGGAUGGUAAGGAUAAGACCCUGACUGAUGCUAAGGAAACUCUAGGUGAGGAGAAAAAGGAAGAUGCAGUAGAGGAAAAACCCGCUGAGGAAGCAGCUGAAAACAACAAAGAAGAUGUACCGCAAGCUGAGGGAGGAAAAGCAGAUGGAACUAGUGACAAGAAACAGGAUGACAUAGCUACUGUGACUGUUGAAGCAAAUGGGGCAGCAGAGAAAGAGAAUCUGGAUGGAACCGCACCUCCUAUGGGCGGAGAGAUCAAAAUGAAACAUGAUGCAGCAGAGAACGAUGGGAAAUGCAAUGCUCAAGCUGAAGAGAAAGUCAAGCCCAAGGAUGGGGAGGUUGUUGAAAAUGGUAAGGUUGAGCAAGUGGCGCAAGCGGAUGCCCCUCUAUAAUUGAGCAGCUGAACAUGCUCUACCACCUCUCCGGUGAGUUGUUGAAUGUUCUGUACCAUUUAUUGCAGUUGGGAUUCUGUUACAUCUCUUGAACUUUGUUUCGCCCCCUUUGUUACAGUGACUCCGGGAGUUAUGGAUGAUUGUAAUGUUAAUGUUGUUAAUGUUAGACUUAACUGUAUCUAGGGAACCAACCGGUCUGGUAGAAUAGGUCUUACUUGUAGAUUCUGCAACUAUGGUUAUGGAGUAGCUUAGAUUGUAGAAUGUAAGAGGUACUUAUUGGACCGGUUGCGUUUUAGUCAUCAGUAGAUGGUCACUUGGUACCAUUUGUUUGUUAACUUGUUCCUUUGUUAAUGUGACUAAAGUUUUAAUUACCUUGUUCUGCUUGUGUUCUGAAAAUUGAAAAUGUUCGGCUGCCGGAGUUUUUGUUUGAGGAGCGCUGUUCUCAGCUGUUUCCAUUUUUUGGAAAGGAAUUUUGUUUUUGCAAAUUUUGAUAAAAAGGCGAGGGAACAUUAGGUACCAUUAGGUACUAGAUUUUGCAGUUUUGCUCUGCUGUGCAGUUUGUAGGGGUUCUGAGAACCACAUUCACCCUAGAUUGGAUAUUGUACAAGUUUAUGCGAUCGCAUAAGGAGGGCAGGGGAAAAAAAAAGGUGUGUUGGACAUUUUAUCCUUUAGUUUGAGUCUGGCAUUUCUGGUACAGUGGACAUGGACUUACAUGAAUGUGUAAGCCCAUUUCCAUUAGGCAGGAAAAUUUUAGACCCAAAGCAUGGUGAGGGUCAAAUGUAACACAACAUUAUGCGUUUUGUAACGCAAGACUUACACACAUAAAUUAGUUUUGCUAUUUGAAUAUGUGCAAAUAUGUGCAUUGGAGGAGAAAACAAGAAAACUCAAACAGACCAGUUUUUUUAACUCGUACGAGUUUGAUCCGAUUUGGAAAACCAGGACCACCAUGAAAAGUGGCAUUAUUGUUUUUUCUUCCCUGCUCGUUAUUGUCCAGAUCUUUUAUCUUUCUAUUACCCACUUUUUCUUCUAUAUUUUCUACCAGCUUGUGCUUCAGCUUAGUAAAGUGAGCGGUCUUAAAUUCAAUGCACAUGAAUGAUGAUGGCAUAUUAAAGCUUGUGUUGAGUUAAUACCCAAUUAGUGAAUGACUCUAUUGUGUGACCUAACGGUCCUAACCUAAUCUCAUUCCCUCCUCUUAAGGUAGAAUAUUGUUGUAGCGAAACAAAGCCUUGAUUUGUAAUACAUUUCCUAUAUUUUUGUUUCACUCUAUCCGCAAUAUAAUUUUGGAGUACGGACACCUCCAAUUUAGAGAAAUGUCUUUCGUACUCUUUUUUCUUCAUUCACACUCAUAUUUGUUUCUGGCCUGUAAUUUGAAUAAAGGGAUAUUUUGGAUGCGGUCCCUAAUCCUUAACAUUCUUUGACUAAAAUCUUAAUGGUAUUCAAAGUUUGAUCAAAGUCCCUUGACUUUAUACAUCUCAUUAUAUUACAAUUAAUAUUAAUAUUUUUAUAGUUUUGGCAAUAAUUGUUUGAUAUUUUAUGUGAUUUAUAAUCCUAUAAAUUUAAAAUCCCUCAUUAUAAUACUAUUAGAAAUGGUUACAAUAAAAAAAUUCAAACAUUUUGAUUGAAUAAAUGGAUAAAAACUGUGUAAAAAUAAGAAAUAAUAAAUGGCAAAAGAAUGUAUCCAUAGUGUUAAAAAAAUUGGUACAUUUUACAAAAAAAUUGGUACAUUUCACAUAUAACAAAGUGGUACAUUAAUAAUAAAGAAUGGGUACAUUAUAAAUAAAUUAGGGUACAGAUAAAAGAUUAAAAAAUUAUGAGUACAAAUGAAUUUUUUAAAAAUAUAGGCGCUAAAAGAAAUUAAUACAUGGGUACAAAAUAAAACUAAAAAGAAAAUACCACAAAUUUAAAAAAAAUGGUGCAAAUUAAAAGUGGGUACAAACUAAAAAUAUAAAUAUAUGAUACAAAGUUUAGGCAUAAAACAUAAAUAUACCAUAUGUAAUUUUUCUAUCAUUGAUUAAAUAUACAAUGUCACGUGACCGUAUACACAUGGAUACAAACACAAAUAAAACUUUAAAAAAUAUGGGCACAAAAAGAAACUAAUAUAUGGGUACAAAUUAAAAAUGAAAAAAAAAAUUGGUACAAAUUAAAAAUAGGUUCAAACCAAAAAUAAAAAUAUAUGAUAAAAAUUUAGCCAUAAAUAUAAAUAUACUAAUUGUAAAAUUUUUAACACUAAAGGAAUAUAUUUAAAAAUAAAAAUAUUUUAUUAUUCAAAUAAUUAAUGAUGUUAUUAAUACCCAAGGACCUUGAUCAAAAAUUGAAAAAUGAAUAGAAUUUUAAUCAAUAAAGUAGUAAAAAGAAGGAUGUGAACCUAAUUUUUCCUUAAAUAAAUUACAAGAAAAUCGACUAAAAGUAUACAUGGUGUGCAGAAGGUGAAAAUGAAUUUGGAAAAAAAAAGAUCAUUUUCCCAAUUUAUGGUUAUGCUCCUUUCCCACGAAAGGUACUACCAUUCAUCCCAAAGCAUAUCAAACAAAGAAAGAUCCUUUAGAGAGAGACAAAAGCUCUCCGAUGGAAACAAGACCAGAAAGGGGAAAAGGCAUACUUACAAUUUGAGAUAGAUAGUUUAAAACUCGAAAAAAAGUGAGAGUAAAGUAAGAAUCUAUACCAUGCCCGCCCCCCACCCCCCAGAAAACAUUUGUCACCUUUGUAGUAAAAUUAAGGUUAAGAAUCUUGGUAUUCUUGUUCACAAGAAUCACAGAAUUGUUUGGACGUCAUCUCUGGACCUAGAGAAGGCUAAGAAUCUACCCUCUUAUGGCAUGCCUGAAGCAAAAGUAUUGCAUCAUCCAAAGGAUCGCUUAUGGGCGGGGCGGUUUCUUGACUGAGGUUGCCGUCGUUGUUGGGUUACAAGAUAUUAUUAUUAGGUCAUCUCCAACAUUCAUUUUCCACAAAAGGAAUGCUUUCAUUGUUAAUAGAUCAUUCACAAAUCAAAUGGAGCUCUCUUUCUUCUGCUUGCUUCUUCUCUUCUCCACCACUACGUUUCUCAAUGGUAAUUUCUUCAUCUUCUGCAUGAAUUUAAUGUAUACUGUGGUCUUUGAUGAACUAUAUGGUCGCAUAGAAAUUAUUCUGUGAUAAUGCAGCACGAUCACGUAGUGUAACCAGUUCGCUUGUUAUAAUACAGGUUCCUCAUGCUAUAUGAAACUCUUGAUCUUAUGUGCUUCAAAGAUAAAUCUUGUAGAUGUUAAUCAAAUGGAAUUUACAUUCUUCGAAUUAUUUUUUGGAUUCCAGUGCUCUAUUGAACUUACAUGCUUUGGUUCAAAGAUCUUGUUUUCAUGUCUCAUGUCUGUUAAAUGAUGUGUGUGACCUUCUCUGGAUCAUGAAUUUUUCUUUGUGUUUAGUGGAUGCAUCUUUUACCGGAACAUACGGAGUAAACUAUGGCAGGCUCGCUGACAAUAUACCGUCGCCUCACAGCGUGGUGACGCUUCUCAAAGCGGCAAAGAUAAAAAACGUCAGGAUAUAUGACGCUGAUCAUGAAGUCCUCACCGCCUUCAAGGGAUCGGGAAUUGAAAUAAUUGUAGGGCUUGGAAGUCAGUUCCUGAAAGAUAUCAGCGUGAACGAGGAUCGCGCCACGGAUUGGAUAAAAGAAAAUGUACAGCCAUACAUUCCGGGAACGCACAUUACUGGAAUAGCAGUGGGGAAUGAGAUAUUGGGGGGAACUGAUAUAGAACUCUCCGAGGUCUUAUUGCCUGCCGUGAAGAACGUUUACAAUGCGCUUAGCAGGCUUAAUAUGGCGACCUCCAUUCAGGUGUCGAGUCCACAUUCGGAGGCUGUGUUCGCGAAUUCUUACCCGCCAUCUGCCUGCAUUUUCAAGGAAGAUGUUGCUCAAUUCAUGAACCCGCUUUUGGAAUUUUUCUCACAGAUUAAUUCCCCUUUUUACAUAAAUGCAUAUCCAUUUCUGGCAUAUAAGAGCGACCCCGAGCACAUUGACCUCAACUAUGCUCUCUUCAAGAAAAAUGCUGGGAUUCAUGAUACAAAAACCAACCUGCAUUACGACAACAUGUUUGACGCAAUGGUUGAUGCGGCGUAUUUUGCUCUGGAGAAGGCUGGAUUUGACAAGACAGAGGUCAUAGUUUCCGAAACUGGUUGGGCGUCUCGCGGGGACGAAAGUGAAGCAGGAGCCAAUGUCCAAAAUGCCAGGACGUACAACUACAACUUGCGCAAACGGCUGUUGAAGAAGAGGGGGACGCCACAUAGGCCAAAGAUGGUUGUGAGAGCUUACAUUUUUGCUUUGUUCAAUGAGAAUUUGAAGCCGGGGCCGACGUCUGAGAGGAACUUCGGAUUGUUCAAAGCUGAUGGGAGCAUUUCAUAUAACAUUGGCUUCACUGGACUUGUUGGACCUUCUGCAGCAUCAUCAUCUCUUCUUAACUACAAGGUAUGAGUUUCAAGACUACUCCUAUCUUUAGUAAUUCAAGCUUUAUUUUUAAAUUUUGUUUCUCAUCUGCCUGAAAAUUUGGUUGUUUUUCAGGUUUUCACAAGUUGUGCAGCUCUUCUGCUUCUAUUGUUAACUUCAUAAUUAGUCUUUUAGGGUUCUUCGAUUAACACAUAUUGUUGUAACAUGAUGUCCAUGUAUAGCCAAUUCCAUUAUUUUUACGUUAUGAUUCCAUUAUCAAGUUAGAUAACAGCCAAUAUUGCUCACUGUUUUCUAAUAAUAUUCCAGCUGUUUACAAUACCUUGUCUCUCUUUUCGUUUUUUUUUUUAUAUAUAUUUUUUCAUAAAAUAACUUAAUGAUUGAAAAAUUCAACGACUGCAUGCAAAAGCAAUAAAGCCAAGCUUGGCAUGCCGUAUAAAGUAUUGAAUAAGACUAAUAGUAUGAAGCCGGUUGUUUAGUUCAUUUUUGUAUUAAAUAGUCACCUGACUAAAUAAUUCGAAUUCACUUGUUUUGUCUGGUCCACACCUGCUACUCCAAAAGGCAAGACUCGUCGAAUUCAAAUGUGAGAUCUUUUAGCAAUCCAUUGUUAAAUAGCCCAGCCUUGGCUUGUCUUUCUCAAAUCCCUUCAUCUGAUUUUCUAGCUUCACCAUGGAACUCUUCCAUCCCUUUCAUGCCUUAGUUCCCAAACUCAAUUUCCACUUUGAGCCUUCGAUGAUUAGGAUUUGGAACCAAGAAACUUACCAUAUCCAUAUAUAUCAUUACAAACAAAGUCAAGUGAAAUAGGGAUAAGCCAUAACCUUUCAAUGGUCACCUUUAUUUCCUUUAGAGCAAGUCCACCGAAGUGGACUUUGCCCAGGAGGGGGAGGGCGUCAGGUAGUCGACAGCUGGCACUCCAUGAUCACGUCGAAUCCUUAUGAAAAUGAAUCCAGAACAAAAUCGCGCUAAAGCUAGGGCGUCACCCGUAAGUGGCGCGCUGUGUGGCCCGAGCACAGUGAUAAGUGAGCAAGGGUCGCUGUAUCUCCAUCGGCACCCGGAUGCAGUGUUAAAUGAGCAAGGGGGCCAUAGAAACUUCUUUUCGAACGACUCCACUCAAAGUUGUUUGGGAGCAUAUGCUCCUAUCAACUUUACCCGGGACACACAAAAGAAGUACUUUGAUCCUAUUAGACGGGGGAGGGUGAAGAAGCUAGGACAGAAGGGUAGAGUUCAAGAGAGCAAAAUGCGUUUAGGAACGUGGAAUAUAGGAACCUUAACGGGAAAAUCUAUGGAAGUAGUGGAAGUUAUGGUGAGGAGAAGGAUAAAUAUUAUGUGCCUACAAGAAACUAAGUGGGUUGGUAGCAAGGCAAAGGAUCUAGAAAACUCAGGGUUUAAACUUUGGUAUUCGGGCACAAAUAGAACGAGAAACGGUGUUGGCAUCAUCGUGGACAAGACCUUGGUACAAGAUGUUGUAGAUGUCAAGAGGGUAGGAGAUAGAAUCAUGGCAAUCAAGAUUGUAAUAGGACAAGAACUUAUCAAUGUGAUUAGUGCGUACGCACCUCAAGUAGGGUUGGAUACGAGUUCGAAGGAGAAAUUUUGGGAAGACCUUGGAGACUUGGUGCAAGGAAUUGCUCAGACGGAGAAGUUAUUUAUAGGAGGAGAUUUAAAUGGACACGUGGGCAGAGAGACAGGCAACUAUGGAGGUUUUCAUGGUGGCCAUGGUUUUGGGGAGAGAAACGAGGAUAGGGAAGCCAUCUUGGAUUUUGCAAUGGCAUAUGAUCUCUUCUUAGCCAACACCUUCUUUAAGAAGAGAGAAGAACAUGUGAUCACCUACAAGAGUGGGUCGUCAAAAACACAAAUAGAUUUUCUUCUAAUGAGGAAAGGGGAUCGUAUAACUUGUAAGGAUUGCAAAGUUAUACCAGGAGAGAGCGUGGCUAAUCAACAUCGCUUAUUGGUGAUGGAUGUACAUAUCAAAAGAGUAAGACAAAAGAACAAGACUUGGAAGUGCCCAAGGACUAGAUGGUGGAAUCUAAAAGAAGAAAAACAAGCCAUUUUCAAAGAGAAGGUAAUCACCUAAUGUGUGUGGGAUAGAGAUGGGGAAGCUAGCCAAAUGUGGGAUUCCAUGGCUAGUUGUAUCCGAAAAGUAGCAAAAGAGGUAUUAGGAGAGUCCAAGGGCUUUGCCCCACACCAAAAGGAAUCUUGGUGGUGGAAUGAGGAGGUACAAACAAAGGUGAAGGCUAAGAAGGAAUGUUGUAAGCCUUAUACAAGGAGAGGACCGAUGAAAAUGGUGAAAGGUAUAGAAAAGCGAAGCAAGAGGCGAAGAAAGCUGUCAGAGAAGCUAAGUUAGCGGCUUACGACGAUAUGUAUAAACGACUAGAUACCAAAGAAGGAGAGUUGGAUAUCUAUAAACUAUCUAGAGCAAGGGAAAAGAAGACAAGGGACCUAAACCAAGUGAGGUGCAUUAAGGAUGAUGAUGGAAAGGUUCUUGCUACAGAGAACGCGGUUAAAGACAGAUGGAGAGGUUAUUUUCAUAAUCUUUUCAAUGAAGGACAUGAAAUGAGUGCUUCUUUAGGGGAGUUGAGUAACUCAGAAGAGUGUAGAAACUACUCUUUUUAUCGUCGAAUCCGGAAGGAAGAAGUGGUUGUAGCUUUGAAGAAGAUGAAGCAUAAAAAAGCAAUAGGCCCAGACGAUAUACCAAUUGAAGUGUGGAAACUUUUGGGAGAGACAGGUAUAACAUGGCUCACUGACCUUUUCAAUAGGAUUUUGAAAACGAAGAAGAUGCCAAAUGAGUGGCGAACGAGCACUUUGGUGCCUAUCUACAAGAAUAAGGGCGACGUACAAAAUUGCAUGAACUAUAGGGGUAUUAAGCUAAUGAGUCAUACAAUGAAGCUCUGGGAGAGAGUCAUUGAGCAUAGAUUGAGGCAAGAGACACGGGUUUCGGACAACCAAUUCGGGUUCAUGCCAGGGCGCUCAACCAUGGAGGCAAUCUAUCUCUUACGAAGAUUGAUGGAAAGAUAUAGAGAUGGGAAAAAGGAUUUACACAUGGUCUUUAUAGAUUUGGAAAAAGCGUAUGAUAGGGUCCCAAGAGACAUUCUUUGGAGGAUUUUUAGAGAAGAAAGUACGAGUAGCAUAUAUCCAAGCUAUAAAGGAUAUGUAUGAAGGAGCAAAGACUGCCGUAAGAACUCAUGAAGGACAAACCGAAAGCUUCCCCAUAACUGUAGGAUUACAUCAAGGCUCAUCCUUAAGUCCUUACCUUUUUGCGUUGGUAAUGGAUGAGUUAACAGGACAUAUUCAAGAUGAUAUUCCUUGGUGUAUGCUUUUCGCAGACGAUAUAGUGUUGAUAGAUGAAACUCAGGAAGGGGUAAAUGCAAAGCUUAACCUUUGGAGAGAAGUGUGUGGAAUCUAAAGGUCUUCGCCUAAGCCGAUCAAAGACAGAAUAUAUGGAGUGCAAGUUCAGUGCAAAUGGAGGCCAAAACGAGUUAGGGGUGAGGAUCGGAGAUCAAGAAAUACCAAAGAGCGACCGUUUUCGUUACCUAGGAUCUAUCUUGCAAAAGAACGGAGAAUUAGAUGGAGAUCUCUCAACCAUAGAAUACAAGCUGGAUGGAUGAAGUGGAAGAGUGCAUCCGGCGUGUUAUGUGACCGCCGUAUGCCACUGAAGCUCAAGGGAAAUUUUUAUAGGACGGCAAUAAGGCCGGCGAUGCUGUAUGGCACAGAAUGUUGGGCGGUGAAACAUCAACACGUACACAAAAUGGGUGUAGCGGAGAUGAGGAUGCUUCGUUGGAUGUGUGGGCACACGAGAAAGGAUAAAGAUUAGGAAUGAGGAUAUCCGGGGUAAAGUAGGAGUAGCCGAAAUUGAAGGAAAGAUGAGAGAAAAUCGGUUACGGUGGUUUGGACAUGUGCAAAGAAGGCCUACUGACGCUCCGAUUAGAAGAUGCGACUAUGGGACAGAGGUUCAGGGCCGAAGGGGUAGAGGAAGACCUAGGAAAACUUUGGAAGAGACUCUAAGAAAAGACUUAGAGUACUUGGAUCUAACGAAGGACAUGACACAGGAUCGAGCACAAUGGCGUUCUAAGAUUCAUAUAGCCGAUCCCACUCAGUGACUUGGAUUUUCCAAGUCUCCAACAGAGAAGUUUUCCUCACUCGGGAAAUUAAGGGAACACUACCCCAACCUACAUGCUCCACUCAGAAAGCUUCAACAUACAAGCUUCAACAAAAGAAAAUUCAAAGAACUUAGCGAAGAAGGCUUUGGUGUUUUUAACACAAUACUUUGAAAUGAAGGAAAGCUUAUUUAUUGAUAUCCCCGAUAAGCUACAAAUAUGUACAUAUACAUGAGUCAAAAAUACAAACAAGACAGAGGGAGCCUUCACAAAGGUUGCUUAGGAGAAGUCUCAGCAGUCGGUAGAGCCCCAGAAAGAGAAGGCACCGGAGGGGGAUCAUUUUGGAGCCUCAGUACUGGACAGAACCCUAGAAGGAUGGAGGCAUCAGAGGUUGAUCAUUUGGAGCUUCAUUACGCGGUACAGCCCCAGAAGACGAAGGCAAUAAAUGCCUUUGGAACAAACCCCACAAAUCUCUGAUGAUCAAGUAAAACCUGACCAUCAGUUUCCUUCAUCUGGUCAAGCUUCCUCUUCAUGUUUGUAGCAUAGUCAUGUGCGAGCCGGUGCAACUGUUUAUUCUCAUGCUUGAGCCCUCUAAUCUCCUGUUUGAGACUCAUCACUUCAGCCGCCAAUGAUUCAACUUGGCGGGUUCGAGCAAAUAGGCGUUGGGCCAUAUUAGACACAGAACCUGCACACUGAACACUGAGAGCCAGCGAAUCCUUAACAGCUAACUCAUCAGACCGUUUGGAAAGUAGUCUGUUAUCUUUGGGAGUGAGAAGGUUCCUGGCCACCACCGCAGCGGUCAUAUCAUUCUUCAUCACGGAAUCCCCAACGGUAAGAGGACCAGUAGGGGAGGACGAAGGAUGGGCGCCAUAUGUUUGUCUGGAGAAGGCGGGGCUGCCUCUUCAACAAGGUUCAAGUCAAAACGACGGUCGGAGGGGCCAGACAUUUUCAAAGGUGUUGAAGAGAGAAGAGGUCGGACAAAUCAAGAUCUUAGAAGUGCAAGAAUGAAGCUUCUACUGGUGGAGAUUCAAGUGUGCUUUGGAACUUAAUGCCAGCCCCUAUAAAAAUCUGCACUCGACGGAGCUUCAGAAAUCGAAGAGGCGCCUGCUCAGAAAUCGAAGAGGCGUUUGCUUUCUCAAAAGCUGGGCUGCUUAGAGAUCACGAGGGUUGAUCUCAGAAAUCGAAGAGGCGUUUGCUUUCUCAAAAGUUGGGCUGCUCAAAGACCACGAAGGCCGAUCUCAGAAAUCGAAUAGGCGCUCGCUUUCUCAAAAGCUGGGCUACCCAGAGACCACGAGGGCCGAUCUCAGAAAUCGAAGAGGCACCUACUUUUGCAGCCUUGUCAGCACCUGUCACAUGCACACUCAGCUUUGCGGAAAUUAUGGGCAUUCUGUCGAAGACUUCUGGGGAAGUAGAAAACACAUGAAUCUUACUGUUCAAUCACCCACUUCCCACACGCAACAAUAGCUCAUGGGUACCACAGAUAACUUUGCCAAAGUUCUCUGCCAAAGUUGAGCACGUGAAGCUUGCAGCUCCCACUACAUCGCUCUGACCAAGAAGGGUAAAAGAAUAGCAAAGAAACAGCACUAACAAAGUUUAGACCCAUAAAUUUUGAAGGUCUAGCUACCAUAUUAUUACCCACAAGGGUAAAGGAACAGUACCACUGCUGGAUAAUUGGAAAGUCUCUGUGUGUCAACCUCUGUGCUUCGUGGCAAGGUAGAUUAGCAAACAUGCCAAACCUUUACUCACAUUCGAGAAAACACUCCCAAUAAGAUUGCUUGCUCCAAAAUCGAAGAGGCACCGUCCUCCGAAUCUCGAGAGCCAGACUCCCAACAUGACUACUUUCUUAAAAAUCGAAGAGAGGGUAAAGGAACAGUACCAUUGCUGGAUAAUUGGAAAGUCCAUGUGUGUCAACCUCUGUACUUCGUGGCAAGGUAGACUAGCAAACAUGCCCAACCUUUACUCACAUUCGAGAAAACACUCCCAACAAGAUUGCUUGCUCCAAAAUCGAAGAGGCACCGCCCUCCGAAUCUCGAGAGCCAGACUCCCAACAACAUGAUUACUUUCUCAAAAAUCGAAGAGACUGCUCCCCGAAUCUUCGAGAGCCAGACCCCCAGCAUGAUUGCUUUCUUAAAAAUCGAUGAGGCAUCGUUCUCCGAAUCAAUCGAAGAGGCGCUCGCUUUCUCAAAGCUGGGCUGCUCAGAGACCACGAGGGCCGAUCUCAGAAAUCGAAGAGGCACCUACUUUUCUAGCAUUGUCAGCACCUGUCACACGCACACUCAGCUUUGUAGAAAUUAUGGGCAUUCUGUCGAAGACUUCUGGUGAAGUAGAAAGCACAUGAAUCUUACUGUUCAAUCACCCACUUCCCACACGCAACAAUAGUCAUGGGUACCACAAAUAACUUUGCCAAAGUUCUCUGCCAAAGUUGAGCACGUGAAGCUUGCAGCUCCCACUACAUCGCUCUGACCAAGAAAGGUAAAAGAAUAGCAAAGAAACAGCACUAACAAAGUUUAGACACAUAAAUUUUGAAGGUCUAGCUACCAUAUUAUUACCCACAAGGGUAAAGGAACAGUACCACUGCUGGAUAAUUGGAAAGUCCCUGUGUGUCAACCUCUGUGCUUCGUGGCAAGGUAGACUAGCAAACAUGCCUAACCUUUACCCACACAUUCGAGAAAAACACUCCCAACAAGAUUGCUUGCUCUCUAAAAUCGAUCGAAGAGGCACCGUCCUCCGAAUCUCGAGAGCCAGACUCCCAACAUGACUACUUUCUCAAAAUCGAAGAGAGGAUAAAGGAACAGUACCAUUGCUGGAUAAUUGGAAAGUCCCUAUGUGUCAACCUUUGUGCUUCGUGGCAAGGUAGACUAGCAAACAUGCCCAACCUUUACUCACAUUCGAGACAACACUCCCAACAAGAUUGCUUGCUCCAAAAUCGAAGAGGCACCGCCCUCCGAAUCUCGAGAGCCAGACUCCCAACAUGAUUACUUCCUCAAAAAAUUGAAGAGACACUGCUCUCCGAAUCUCGAGAGCCAGACCCCCAGCAUGAUUGCUUUCUCAAAAAUCGAAGAUGCAUCGUUCUCCGAAUCUCGAGAGCCAAAUACCACAGACCACUUUUUUCAAAGUGCUUUGACAGAGUUAAAACAUGUGAAACUGGCAGCUCCCACUACCGUGCUAUGACCAAGCAGGGUAAAGGAAUAGCAUUACUACUUGUUGUUAGGAGAGACUCCUAUAUUGUAUGUCGACCUCCAUCCCCAACGGACAGGCAGACCUGCAAAAAUGCUCAACCCUUCAUCAUAUCUGAGAGGGCACUCCCAACGAAGCCUUUCGAAAUAUUCAGCUUUCUUUCCCCCCGAUAAUACCUCUGCAAACAAGCUAUACUAGAGCAAGAAUAUCUCAUAUCAUCAGGGUUAAAAGCAAGAGUAUCCCAUAUCAUGCUUUUUCCCUGUCUUUUCCUUUGGCCUUGUUUUUACCUGCAAGACAAGGAGAAAGAGAGCAAUCAGUCAGCACUUGGAAUCAAGCUUCCAGCCAGGAACGGACUGCCUGGAACCCCUUACCUGAUUACUUACCUGGCAUUGCUCUCGAGUACUCAUCUUCAACAUCUUAUGUUUCCAGGGAAGAUUCCGCAUCUGCUUGAGGAACAGAUAGGGCAAGUGCGAAGGAUACAAGGAAGCAUGUGGAGACAAGCGUAACAGCACACGUGCCGAUACAUCCAUUACUCUGUCAAAAGCAAAAGUAUCCCAUAUCAGCAGGGUGGAACGUACUCUAGAUUUGAUGGACUUGUUUUGACCCUCAAAUUCUUCAGUCGGCCUUAUACUCUGGAGGAAACCAGAAAACCCUUCAGCUCAGUUCAAGAAUAAGCCUGUGGAAAGUUACUUCUUCAAAAGCAAAAGUAUCUCAUAUCAUCUCUUCUCAUUUUUCUUCUCUUUAUCCUUCAUGCUGCUGCAAGAUAGGGAGAAGGUGAACAAUCAGUCGGAGCUCUGAUUGCUUACCUUGUCUGUCACCUCUUUCAGCAGACCCCCUAGCUCGGCGACUUGGGGGACUCCUACUACAUGGUUUGUAUCGCGCUUGACCAAGCCUGAAACUACAAGUAAGCUUCAAGUGAAAUUGAUACAUUACCUUGUGCAUCUCCACCAGUUAAAGAUACCACCCCUGGAUGGAGGAAGAGUACUUCCAGAGAAGAUGCCACAUCUACCUAUGAGACAGAUAAGGCAAGUCAAGACGACACCACACUCCGAUACUUAGAAGUUUUGUGAUUACGAGAUCAUUCUCCCAUAAUAUUUCCUAAUGUCAUUUGUACUAAAUCAUUCACUUGUACUCACUAAAGGAGAGCUUGAACCUAUGUACUUGUGUAAACCCUUCACAAUUAAUGAGAACUCUUCUAUUCCGUGGACGUAGCCAAUCUGGGUGAACCACGUACAUCUUGUGUUUGCUUUCUUAUCUCUAUCCAUUUAUAUACUUAUCCACACUAAUGACCGGAGCAAUCUAGCGAAGAUCACAAAAAGCGACCGUUUUCGCUACCUAGGAUCUAUCUUGCAAGAGAACGGAGAAUUAGAUGGAGAUCUCAACCAUAGAAUACGAGCUGGAUGGAUGAAGUGUAAGAGUGCAUCCGGCGUGUUGUGUGACCGUCGUAGGCCACUGAAGCUCAAGGGAAAAUUUUAUAGGACGGCAAUAAGGCCAGCGAUGUUGUAUGGCACAGAAUGUUGGGCGGUGAAGCAUCAACACGUACACAAAAAUGGGUGUAGCGGAGAUGAGGAUGCUUCGUGGGAUGUGUGGGCACACGAGAAAGGAUAAGAUUGGGAGUGAGGAUAUCCGAGGUAAAGUAGGAGUAGCCGAAAUUGUAGGAAAGAUGAGAGAAAAUCGGCUCCGGUGAUUUGGACAUGUGCAAAGAAGGCCGACUGACGCUCCGGUUCGAAGAUGUGACUACGGGACAGAGGUUCAGGGCCGAAGGGGUAGAGGAAGACCUAGGAAAACUUUGGAAGAGACUCUAAGAAAAGACUUAGAGUACUUGGAUCUAACGGAGGACAUGACACAAAACCGAGCGCAAUGGCGUUCUAGGAUUCAUAUAGCCGACCCUACUUAGUGGGAAAAGGCUUUGUUGUUGUUGUUGUUGUUGUUGUAUAAAUACCUAACCCUCAUCUUCCACCUUACACCACAUUUCAAUAUUUUCUACACUUUCUACCAAAGCUUUCAUAUACUUUUUGUGUGAAAAAAAAUACCAAAAAGCGUGUGGUUGAAGAAUAAAGAGUAUUUGAUGAGUUUAUGUAAUUUCAUUUUAGUGUUUUUUUUUUAUAGUUUAUUUGAUGAGUUUAUGUAAUUUUAUUUUAGUGUGUUUUUUUUUUAAGUUUAUUUGAUGAGUAUGUAAUUUUAUUUUAGUGUAUAUUUUUUUUUAAGUUUAUUUGAAAUUUUAUCCGAAAUUGGUUAAAAAUCUUAUCUGAAAUAAACUUAAAAAAAAAAAAAACACACCAAAUAAAUGCGCUGGGUGCCAGCGCAUUUUUUUAGGGGUGGAGAUGCCUUGGCCUAUUACUGUUCAUUGGAGUCUGUUACUGUUCAUUUGAGUGGAUAAAUGCGCUGGGUGCUGGCGCAAAGUCCUUAGGGGUGGAAUUGCUCUUAAUGUGUUCCAUAGCAUUCAUCCCUUACUGAACCAUCGACAAUGUUCUCCUUGCAAUUUUAGCAUACGUGUUCAACUUUAGGACAGUGUUGAGAUUCUUCAGUGGGUUCUUCUCCAUUGGUGCUCUCUUUGCUCUUCAUCAGAAUAGAGCUUCUGAUGACAGAUUGAACCUUAUUAGAGUUGAUGAUCCUGGUUGAAUCAACUCCAUAGCAUCCUUAAGAAAAUUUGCAUGCUAAAGGGUGGGGGUUUGUCUCCCCCCAAAGAAUUGUACUCAUUUUGCCUGUUCACGGAACUUUGAUAAUUUACAUGUUUUAUGAGAAAUUAUAAUUUUAUUCAAGUCAUUAAUCUUGUUAGAAUAAAGCACUUGAAACUUUUCAUUCUUUGCUUCCUAAUCACGGAAUAAUAUUUAAUUCGACAAAAUCUUUCCAAAAUAAAUCUAAAUCUUUCCAAAAUAAAUAUAACCCUGGAGUAAUGAGUAAUAGAGUAAAACACGAACAAAUUUGCAGGCCAAGGACAGAGCUCAAAGCUCCCCUAGGUAACAUUGAUUUGAAAAAAUAUUACCUCCUAGGCUUGGUGUUCAUAAGGGUUUUCAUUGUGAUAAUGGAAGAACCACAUUUCUUUGACACCAAGUCUAAGCCCAUAAAAAAUGUUUUGCUCCAUACUCACCAUUGUGCAUUGGUCGAAUUAAGGAUGAGAAAUUAUGAAACCUUGUUUGGAAUGUUCUUUGGAGCUUUGACUUAGAUGACCCUUUCUUCUUCCAAAUGACAUGUUGCUUUGUUCAUUCACCUUACCCCAUUCUAGAGAUGAAGAUUUUAAAGAUGCAAUGUGUUGUUGAGAAGAGGCUUCCUUCCAGUUCGAAUUGCGUGUCCGUCAUUAGUGAAUUUUAAACAAAAGUUUGUUAAGGACUUGGUCGCUUACAUGUGGGUUUGAAACACCUUUGGAAUGCGUCAAAGUUGAAUGUUGCCGAUUGGACUACACUUAGCUGGCUUGGCUAAGGCACUUUCGAGUAAGAAGCUUCGUUGGAAUAAAAUUCCACAUGAGGAUUUCCUAGUCUGGGUGCCUUUUUCAGACCUUGUCAUGGUGUUGCAUAAUGCACUUGACUUAGUACGGUCGUCCGAGAUAAAAGUAAUCGUACUCAGGGUUGGGACUCAAAGCCACCCCUCGGAUGAUUCCCGAUUCCAUAUUGCCAUUUCCAUCAUUCCCUCGAAUGGUGUAAAGCCCAGGUUGAAUGUUAUAACCCACAACCCUUAGGUUGUAUAAUCUUUCCGAAAGCCGGAUGGUGCAUUGGACUUUCGAGUCAAGGGGUCAUGUCCCCAUGCCUGUAGCUCGCCGAUCGUAACCGCACUUAAUAUGACUCGAGCCUCCCAAGCUGCUAACCAAACACUACAUAAUGGGCUAAAGGAGACACCUAUGACCCUAUUAGUUUGAAUUUUAAACUUGCGAUUACAUUAAGUUUCAAAGUUGUGUGUUAUUUAAGGAAUUUUAGGGUAUUCCAUUCAAUGCAAAAGAAAAUAACGAACAAACAUGUAGCAUAUGUGAGUAACUCUGAAAACUCUUUCAUUGAAUAAAAAUGGGUGUUUACGAAUGGGGCAUGAUUGAAUCCGAAAAGGAUUACGUAUCCGCGAAAAGGAGAAUCAAAUAACUAGUGUAGUUUCAAAAAAUAUGAGACAAAGUAAAAAAUUGUCAUGGUGAAGCGAUAAAGAGAUAAGGGGAAUCAAAUCGCAAAGCUUAUUCUAGAACGGUUUGGCUCCACUUUUUAUGAAAACAACUUUCAAAUGCAAAUACAUGCUACUUUUAAAAACUGUUGUAUGAAAGCUAUUACGUUUAAAAUAAGCAUGAUAUUUUAUUUUCAUCAAAAACUUUUUACUUCUAACUUAUGUAUAAAGCAUCUUUUUAGCUUACCAAAAAAAAAAAAAAAAAAAAAAAACCAUACGGGUUUAAGCCAAGAAUUAAAGUUUUGAAAUCUUGGAAUUUUGAAGUUUGGGAGGUUCACCAAAAUUUUAGUGACGUUGAAUUAUACCCUGUACAUAUUCUUGAAACCAAUAAUUAAUUAGGAUUUAUUACUUAAAAGAACCCUUAAUUUUGACGUACUAAUUAGAGAAGGUCAAGCAUCAUUAAACAGAAACAAGAAAAAGAAAAAGUGGGAACUUUCCACUUUGUAACUAUGUUCCACACGGAAGACCGACAUGGACCAAGCAAACAAGCAAAGAUGACCGGCUUCACAAUAUGCAUGUUCUCAUUGUUCUUUCUCAAGGCAGCCGCGUAGACUGCAACAAGUCUAACUUGCUUUUUCUUUACUCGUCAGCUUUUCCUUCUCUAUUUAUAGGCUUCAAUUCGAGUAUCCUUGCCACACACUCUCAUCAGUGAUCACCUACAACAACAAUACACAAUUUCCGUAGAAGUAAAGAAAUUUAGUCGAUGGAGAGCAAGAUGGUGAUUGUUUUUGGAUUUGUAGUUGCAGUAUUUUUGCAGAGUGCGGCAGCGCAGACAGGACAUGUGGUGGGAGACAGCAUAGGUUGGACCAUCCCUCAAUCUGGUGCACAAGAGUAUGUCACUUGGGCUGCAAGUAACAAGUUCGUAGUUGGUGAUACUCUGGGUAUUUUCUCUUCUCAUCUAUUUUCCAUCUCCGUCUUCAUUAAAUUAAUUACUUCAUGAACUCAUUAGUGUAAUGCAAACUUCAAAUAAACGAGCUGGACCAAUCAGUUGGUACUAAUAGUGUGCAACUGUGAUUGUUUCGAGGUAACUAUCCAUCAAUUAAGUUUUCUCACAUUUGAUGUUUCUUAAUAAUUUUCCAGUUUUCAACUUCGCCACCAACGCACACGAUGUACAAGAAGUACCCAAAGCAUCUUUCGACUCAUGCAGUUCCGAAAACCCAAUUGGCACAGCCAUCACAACUGGCCCAGCAAACAUCACUCUCACCUCCGCAGGCGACCACUACUACAUCUGCACUUAUGGCCGCCAUUGCCAGUCGGGACAGAAACUAGCCAUCACCGUCUCAGCUGCCUCCCCAGGUGCCGCACCUUCUGUGCCGCCACCGCCCUCUACAACUAACACCCCUCCAACUACCCCUUCCCCCACAUCAAACGACCCUGCUGCUUGUGAACCUGUCCCGGCUCCAUCGCCUUCCAUGAGUGGAGUACCCACCGUGAACACCACCCCUGGGUCGCUGCCUCCGUUGGGUUCUUCUUCACAUGUUGUUUUAGCUAGCUUCGUUUUAUCCUCCUUGGCUCUUGUCGUGGGUUUGUUCUUUUAGGUGCAGUAGACAUCCGCAUUUGGUCAUCCAAUAUUUUUUUGGGGUCUUUUGAUAUGGGUCCAAUUGGACUAAAAAUUGGACCUAUUUCAAAAGAUGGGCUAUAAUUGGGUCUCUUUCAAAUUUUUCCUAUUUUUUUUUAUUUUUUAUAUAUUUUCUUUCUUGAUAGGGCAGGGUAAAUCGUUAUUUAUUUUAAUCUCUUUUUUAUUUUUGUAUCGGUUUUGUAUAACAGAACAGUGAUGAUUUUUUGGAGUGUGCUAUUAAUAAAGGAAUUCUUGUAGUUGAAAAUAUUGUUAUGCACUAUGUUGGAACUUCGAACGUUAAACUUGUCUGUAUGGUGUUAAAAAAAAUCAUUAUACAAAAUACAAAAAAAAACGAGUGUAAAAUGUCUUUGAUACCUUGGUUUUUAAGAACAAACUCAUAAAAUAAAAAUAAAAACUAAAGACAAUAUUUAGUUUUAGUAAAACAUCAAGCAAGACAUGUACACUUAAUUAUUAAACAAAAUUACUGUUUAAGAAGAAAGUUCAUAUACACAAGCACCAAUAUUACCAUGAUGGUCACACCUAUCGUCUUACUCUUAACUGCUAUUGCUGUCACUAUUUUCUCAACUCCCACUAUUCAUUUUACAAAAUACAAAAAACGAGUGUAAAAUGUCUUUGAUGAAGAAAUUAGGGUUUUACUAUAAAAUCAAUUGAUAAUAUGGAAAAUAGCUCAAUAUCUUAUCAGCCCUUGCCUUGGUCUACACCUCAUCGGUGUGGGUCAUUUUGUCCUCACAUUAUUAACUCUCAAUAGGCCCCCUUAUGUGUGACUAAUUUUUAAGCCUACAUGUGGACAACAAAUUGGGUGAUGUGUGAAAAUGUGCGGCCCUUGAGCUUUCACAUAAGGGUCAACUUGACUUUGAUACCAUGAAAAAGUCGGUGUUCUACCAUAAACCAAUUGACAAUAUCAAGAGUAGCCCAACAUCUUAUAAGCCUUUGCAUUGAUCUAUCCCACUGAUGUGGGACAUUUUGUCCUCACAUCAUCAACUCUCAACAUUUGAUAUGUUGGUUUUUAAGAACAAACUCAUAAAUGGAAAAAACCAAAGACAAUACUUAGUUUUAGUAAAACAUCAAGCAAGACAUACUUAGUUAUUAAACGUUAUUGUUUAAAAAAAGAAGAAAAAAAGAAGAAGAAAGUUCAUAUUCACCACCACCAUAGUUAUUUAGUACUACGGUUUAGUGGUAUUCCUCUUUAUUGGUAAGUGAGAGGUCUUAAGUUCGAUUCUUGCCAAAGACGAAUUUGAACCAUAUUAUUGCUAGCCCAUUGUGAGGCUUAACCCAUUCUCCCACCCCUUAGUGUAGAUAAUAUCGUUGUUCAAAAGAAAAGAAGAAGAAAGUUCGUAUAGACACCACCACCAUAUAUAUUCACCAUAUUCGUCAACCUAACAUCUUAACUGCUAUUGCUGUCACUACCAUUAUUAUCUCAACUACCACAAUCCCCACCACUAUCUCACCACCGCCUUCACCAUAUCUCCGUCGCUAUCAUCCACACCACCUCUCAACCACCAUUGUUGCCACUACCAUUCUUCGCCACCAUCAUCACCGGUGAUGUGAGCAUUCCUACUACCAUUGCCCCUCCCAUUCAUGGACGGAGUUAGAGUUUUUUUUAGUGGAAGAGACCUUAACAUCUACUUAUACUUAAGAAAAAAAAAAUUAUCAUAAUAAAAUAUCGUCUAUAAUUUCAUUUGCUUUUUCUUUUUCCUUAAACUGCACAAAGCCACAACUUCACAACUUGGAGAAAUGCUUUUACAAUGAUGGGCUAUUUCAGAAUAUAAACUGAAAGUAGUGCAAUUAUGGCAAGUUCAAUCUCCACAUGUCUUUUUAUAUGUGUUUCAUUAAAAGGAGCAUAAAUAAUAUAAUCAAUAUGUUAUUUGCAUGUCACUUAGUACUAUGGUCUGGUAGUAUCCUCUUCACUUGGAAAUGAGAAGUAUUAGGUUUGAAUCUCGUGAUGACGAAUUCGAUAUCAAAUUAGGUUGUCCAUUGUGUGGCUUUGUCGAAUUCUCUUUUUCCCUUAGUGUAAAAAUAUCGAUGUACUAAAAAAAAAUUUAUUUGCAUUGCACCUUCUAUAAUAUCAUAAUUUUUUUUUCUCACUAAACUUAGGUGCCUCCAGUGAUCCUUAGCUGCCACCAUUCAUGUCCCCACCCCGCUAUUAUCACCACUCAUAUCCCACCAUUAUUGUUACCACCACCACUGUUUCUAAUUGCACAACCCUCGUUGCAAUCAUCUCCACCACCAUCCCAUCAUCUUAAAAUAUAUAUUACAAAACAUUAUCAUCAAACACGAAUUUCUUUUAUUGACAUUUAUAUAUCGAUAAACAAAGACGUCUAAUGUCUUCCUUGUCCAAAUAUAAUUCCCAGAUUAAACUCCUAGACGAAUUCUCGAUGUCUUUUUACUGCUACAUUUUCAGUUGGCUGGACGGGAGCUGGGCCAUGUCACCUACUACUUUAACGGGCUUUGUUUGUGUUUGAAUUUUUUAUCCUGUAAGCUGAAUGGAAAGACAUGAUAUGAUGUGUUAAAAUAAUGAGUUAACACGAACCAACAUCACGACCCAUUUGUCAGGUCCAUGUAGAGGAAAAUGUGAUUUGACCAAAUUUAUUGUUGUUAAAAAUUAAAAUCUCCGCGCUUUUGAAGAUUACAAUAUUGAAAUAGGAAUGUAAGUUUUCCUAGUUAUGGAAUCCCUUUCUAUUGAGUGAUCUCUCAAAAAACUUAUUUGAUGAGCAUAGGUACAUUUUGAAGAAAUUUAAUUUGUUUUAUGGUGGAAUUUUAUCUGAGUAUGUUGUCAUGUGUAAGAAAGCCCAACAGCCUGGCGUGCUUCAGGUCAUCCGAUUUGUGUUGUCCAUGUGUUAUACUUGAAAAUUUGCCAUCCAUAAGGUGUUAUCCCACAUUGGAAAAAAGAAGACCUUGCAUGUGCUUAUAAGCAAGUUAGGCUAUUCCCAUACACCUCCUAUUCAUUUUACCUCAACUUCUUCACAUUCUACAUUGUAUUGCAAUGAUUCAAACAAAUUAUUUUUCAAAUUGUUGUUGAAAAUUUGUUAGUUUGUUCAGUGAGCGUGGAGGGCCAAAACUGUUAGUUUAAAACUCGGUAGAAGUUGGUUAAAAGGGAAGCAUUGUAUCAGAAAGCUUGUUCAUUUGUUGUAGAUUGAUCUUUCGUAAUAAUUUCUAUUUUUUUUUUUUUACAUAAGAGUGAAAAUUGAAGCCAAGGAAAGCUCCAAAAUCCUGGAAUUUGGAAGUUUAGGCGGGUCCCCCAAGUUUAUCACGUUAGACUAUACGACCAUGUACAUCACAAGAAUUCUUCAACCCGAUAAUAAUUAGGUUAUUACUUUAAGAACCUACUAAUGAGAGAAAGUCGAGCAUCAUUAAACAGCAAAAAGAAAAAGAGAACAAGUCUUUUCAUGAAAUGUAGUAUGAUAUGAAAGAAGGUUGGAACUUUCCACUUUGGGUCUCGGUACAACAUAAUAGACUAGAAUAGUCUAACAUGCACCAGAAAUCAAAGUUAAGAUGACCGACUUCCCAUGCAUCUUCUUAUUGUUGUUCAAGGCAGCCGUGUCUAAGACUCUACCAAGUCUUGCUUUUUCAUUACACUCUUCAGCUUUCCCUACCUCUCUAUUUAUAGGCUUCAAUUCAUGUAUCCUUGCCAUACACUCUUAUCAGCGAUUACCUAAAACAAAUCAAUUUGCUUUAGUAAUCACAGCCUCCUACACAAUUUUCCUAGAGAUAUAGAGAGAAACAGAGCUAGAUAGAUGGAGAGCAAGAUGGUGAUUGUUUUCGGUGUAGUUGUGGCUGUGUUCCUGCAAAAUGUUGCAGCACAGACGGGACAUGUGGUGGGAGGAAGCAUAGGUUGGACCAUCCCUCAAUCUGGUGAACAAGAGUAUGUCACUUGGGCUGCAAGUAACAAGUUCGUUGUUGGUGAUACUCUCAGUAAGAUUCGCUUCUCUUCUGAUUUCCAUCGUCUUCUUCAUUAAGUUAAUAACUUCGUGAACUCAUUAGUGUAACACUCUUCUUCAAAUGAACCAGCUAGACAGACCCAGUUAGGACUCCGCAUUUACUGAUCACAUUAAUACAUAUAUAUAUAUAUAUAUGUAUAUUUGAAGUGAAUCCACGAGUAUUUCUGUAAAAUAAGAGCACAUGAUCGACAAUAAUUAUCAAAUAAAGUUUCAAUUAAUUUCCUCUAGCCUUGAAAUUAUUCCAAGGUAAACUAUCCAUCACUCAUGUUUCUCACAUUUGAUGUUUCUUAAUUAUGUCUCCAGUUUUCAACUUCGCCACCAACGCACACGAUGUACAAGAAGUACCCAAAGCAUCAUUCGACUCAUGCAGUUCGGAAAACCCAAUUGGCACGGCUAUCACAACUGGCCCAGCAAACAUCACUCUCACCUCUUCAGGCGACCACUACUACAUCUGCACUUAUGGCCGUCAUUGCCAGUCGGGCCAGAAACUAGCCAUCACCGUCUCAGCUGCCUCCCCAGGUGCCGCACCUUCUGUACCACCACCACCCUCUACUACUAACACCCCUCCAACUAGCCCUUCCCCUACAUCAAAUGACCCUGCUGCUUGCGCACCAGUCCCAGUUUCAUCACCAUCCAUGAAUGGAGGAGUACCCACCGUGAACAUCACCCCGGGGUCGCCGCCUCCGCUGGGCUCUUCUUCACCUGCUGUUUUGGCUAGUUUCUCUUUGUCGGCCGCUGCUCUUAUCGUGGGUUUGCUCUUUUAGUUACCAUGAAGACAUCGCCGGUCCUAAUUAAUUACUAUAUUGGUGAUCCAACCUUUUUUAUAUUGUCUAUCUUGAUAGUACAAAAGUAAAUGGAAUUUGAUCUUAGUCUCUCUUUUGUUCUAAAUAAUUUUGUAUCUGUUUCUUAUAACGAACCCGUACAGGGUGAUUUUUUUUAGUAUACUAUAAAUAAAGGAAUUCGUUUGUUCAAAAUUCUGUUCUGCAAUGAAGAAAGAAGGAAUGUUUUUCUGCCAAAUGGUCCUAUAGUCAAUGCUAAUCUUAUGGCACAUGUAAUAUGAUCGUCCAUUUAACUCUUAGAACUUUUUUGUGAACGUCUGUCCUCUCAAUUUCGUAUCCAUAACAUACAUGCACAAAAAGAGAUAAAGUUCACAUGUAAUGUAAACUCUCAUAAUAAGCACGUCCACCUUUCCUUUCAUGGAUUUGAUCUUGAAAUUGUCUCUACAAACUGUAAUGAAAAUAAAAAUUCCCGAAGUAUUGUGACAUCAUGUGCUUCGGACCUCAAGUUUGAGAUGUAAGCGUACAACAAGGGACUAACAGAAGUUUUUGAACAUAAUUUGGUUAAACCCAUGAACUUUUUGAUCAAUAAAGCAGCAAGAAGAGAACAUUAAAGAAUUUCUAUUCGUCACAAAGAUUCCGUUAAUCGUCUCAGUUCCUAGAGCUUUUAAGGAGAAAGCUUUGAUAAUCUCUUCGCUGUUUCGAAAACUUCUGCAAAUUGUGAGGGGGAUCUGAAACCAUCAUUUGCCGUAGUAAUAAAUUCUCCAACAUAAAGGUAAAUAUAUAGGGCUACAAAAUGUGCUAAGAAAUAUGAAAUACAAUAAAGAAUUAGAAUAGGACUAUACAAUGGGUAAUAAGUUAGGCCAUCUCUAACCGAAAAUGCUAAACAUAGCCUUAUUCAGAAUUAUAGUCCUGCAAAAAAAUAUUUUUAAAUGAAUAGUAUCAGAACAUACUCAUAUACUAUCCAAUCCAACCGAAUGGAAUAAAACAUAGUCUCCUCAAUAAUUUAUUAGUUUUAAGUUUGUACCUUAAAUUUAUUAGUUAAUUUAAUUAAACUAUCGUUGGAUAUUUCAAAUAUAACAGUUAAAUUUGAAUAAAUUAUUACAAAUGAGGAAUUGGGCUCCAAAAAAAGGGCUAAAGCCAUCUCCAAUGGAGAGGGUUAAAUGGCUAAAGGGCCAAAAAAUGGCCUGAUUUGAAUAAAAUCCAACUCUAACCAAAGGCUAAGCUAAAAAUUAAUAGAGCCCACCAGGCCGAAACAUAGUCAAAAGGGCAUCAGGCUGGCCAAGUUUGACUUGACAACCGGCCGUUUGCUGGGCCAAGCAGCAAAUCCUGAGGCCACUUUUGGAAGAAUCCAACGGCUACAAAUUAUAUGGGCAUCAGGCUGGCCAAGUUUGGCCUGAUAGCCAGCCUUUUGUUGAACCUAGCAGCAAAUCCUGAUGCCACUUUUGGAAGAAUCCAACGGCUACAAAUUAUAUUAUACAUCUUUCAAGAAUAUGGAUGUCAUGUCUGGGAGAUACGUAUACGACCAUUAAUAAAAAACUUGGUCUGUUAUUAUAAUCAUGAGGAUUAAUAAUUAAUCUUUUAUAUUAUUACUGAUAAAUUGUUGAAAUUCUUGUGAAAAAUCUUUUUAAGUGUCAUUUAGUGAAAGAAGUUGUCAUUUGCAGGUGGUCCUUUAUCACAGUUGUGAAGCCUAAAAUAAUUCCAAAAUUUUUUAAAGGCGACGCGUGAACUUUUGCUCAAGAAAGACAAGUUGCCCUCAAUAAAUGGGCAUGCUUCUCAAAUGCUCCCACGCGCAGCUCACACCCCUAAAGGUCCCAACAGCUAAAUACGAUUGCCCACAGCUCACAUGCCCUUGGCAAGGAAAAUUCAAAGCAUUAAAGAUAAGAAUUAAUUACCUAAAUCUUAUCUUUAAUACAUUCCCAAUUAAAGAUUGACUCUAAUCAGGUAAGUAAUCCCAUUUAAAAUCAAUUAGGGAUAAUUACUCCAUAUCUCAAGAUAUUAUUUUCUAUUUAAUAUCUUGAUAAUAUUUCUCCAUAAACCCUAACACUAUGGCCGACCAAAUACCUAUAAAUACCCCAUAUUCUACCAAAUUUCGGUAAACUUUUGCUACCUUAUAAAAGCCUUAAACACUUUAUUCUCCUCAGAGAAACUGACUUAGGCAUCGGAGAUCCAUUGACCUAAACCCCCUAACUUGUGGGCGCGUGAGGCUUAGGUCCUUGAUCAAAGGUGUUAAUUGUUUUUCAAGUGCAGUUUCAUCUAGACUGAAGGUGGAAAUUUGCAUCGACAAAUUGGUACUUUUAUUGAGAGCUGAUUCAAAUACUCGAAGAAGCCUCUUGCAUUUGGUUUCUUGAAUUUUCUAUUACAUUGAAUUUUUCACAUGUCGUAUCAAUUAAUUUUCGUAGAAAAGUUUCGUGAUCAAUCCCUAGAGAAAUGAUACAAUGGUAGGAAAUUCAGAAACCACGACGAACGGAACGCCGUACAUACAAGGAUUUGGAUCGGAGAGUGGAGACGAUGAUGUAGCCCUACGACGGAAGUCUUUAAGACUCAACGCGACGGCAGGAGGGGCCCUACCGCCGCGGAGCCGCAUCACCACCACCUUUGUGACCCAACAGCCACGAAAAGGCCACCAGGCCACAGCCUAAGUUCCACCAUCGCUGCCCUCGAAGCGCUGCAACCCACAAAACCCUGGUCAGGAGGCCUAGGUCUAACCAGUGGUCCACGAGCAUGAGGCUCAAGGCUUGGCAACUAUCACAGCAAGCCCAGGGCAGAAGGCUUAGCCCACUGCAGCAACUCAGUUGCCAACUAGUGAGCAUAGGCACUUCAGGCCCAGGCCGAUUCUUAGGGUACCUGGUAACCCAAUGAGGAAUCGAGGCUUAUCCAAGGUAAAUUAGAGCAAUCUUGGACAUGAAGUCUCCUACAACUUUGAAGGAGAUCCAAAUUCUGACUAGACGAGCAGCCGCACUUAAUCGUUUCCUCUCGUUAUUCAUUAACCGAUGUAAGCCAUUCUUCAAGGCAAUCAAAAGAGUGCAGAAUGACAAAUGCGACGAUGAGUAUGAGAAAACAUUUUAGAACCUGAAGUAGUACUUGACAUAACUUCCACUAGUAUCUAAGUCGGAAGUAGCAGAGAACCUGUACAUCUAUCUGGCAGUAUCAGAAGUAGCAGCAAGCUCUGCCCUCAUACGAGAAGAGCUGGGGGCCCAACUGCCUGUAUUAUAUACAUCCAAAGCUCUCCUCGAUGCAGAAACCAGAUACCCGAAGAUUGAAAAACUAAUUUUGGUGCUAGUUGUUGCAUAUCGGAAGCUUAGACCUUACUUUCAAGGGAAUCUGGCCAUUGUCAUCACCCAGUACCCACUACGAUCAGUUUUGCAUAGACCAGAUGCUUCUCAACGAGUGAUGAAGUGUGCGUUGGAACUUGGCCAAUACAGCUCAACCCCACACAUGGACAAAAGCCUAAACAUUGGCAGACUUUACAGCAGAAUUCACCCUAAGCCUGAAGGAUGUAGCAACUCAACCCAAAAGCAUCCCGGAAGCAGCCAAGUACACUGUAGCCGCACUAGCCCCACCUGCAUGAGAUUUUUGUUUUUUGCACGUCGAUGGAUCAUCCAACUACCAGGGAUCGAGAGUAGGCCUAGUUCUUACUACCCCGGACUGUUCGAUGCUCGAGCAGGUGAUCAUUCUAAGCUUCAAGGGGUCAAACAAUGAAGCAGAGUAUGAAGCCCUACUUGCAGGUCUCCGAUUAGCAAAAGACCUAGCGAUGAAGAAGCUCACGAUCUAUUCCGAUUCCCAGCUAGUCACCAACUAAACCUCAAGGGAGUACGUAGCGAGGCAUCCAAGGAUGGCUCGAUACCUCGAGAAGGUACGAGAGCUGCUGGCGACAUUCCAGGCGUACACACUUACUUAGGUUCCACAAGAAAAAAUGCCCAUGUAGACACACUAGCAGGCCUAGGCCCCGCCUUAGACCAUCAGCUCAAGCGCUCUCUCCUAGUCGAGUACUUGGAGAAGUCGACCAUAGAUAAGGAACCAGCAGUCGAGGUGGCGUAGAUCAACACAAAUUUGAGUUGGCAAGAUCCCAUUAUUGACUACUUAGUCAAUGGAACGCUCCCCGCAGACAGACUGAAGUCCAAGAAACUCCAGAUGAAGGCAGCACGCUACUACAUGUGGAACAACAUGCUCGUUCGAAGAUCCUUUUCAGGACCGCAUCUCUGUUGCUUAUCGCCUCCUGACGACCUAAAGAUUCUUAGCUAAAUCUAUGAAGGCGUUUGUGAAAACCAUUCAAGAGGCCACUCCCUGGUGCAAAAAGCUUUUAACUCUGGCUACUACUGACCAACCAUGCAUCAAGACGCCAAAUAGUAUGU